UUUUUUUUUAUUGUCUUUAGUAGUUUUAGUUUAUUUCUUUGUAAUCCGCUUAGUGUGAUGGAAUGAUGUACAUAUUGGGCGAAAAUGAAUAUUUGGCAAACUCUCUUAAAUUGAUGUUAUAUGCUUUGUUGACACUUGAACCUUAAAUAUGUAAUUUAGUUCUCAUUUUUAAUAUUUUUGAAAUCAUAUUUUCCUUUGAUUAAAUAGUAAAAGAUGGAAUUCACAGUGUAAAUAAUAAUAUUCUUAACAAUUUCAAUACAAAACAACCCAUAAUCACCCCAAAACCCGGUGUCACAAGUGCAUGAGCAUCAACUAGGAAUGUAAAAUAAAAUACAACAUCUGUCCGGAAUAUAAAUUUAGACAGGAGAAUAUAAAUACUCUGAAGGAGACUCUACCGGUGUCGGGUCGUAAUAUGGAAUGCAACUCACGUAAGUCCCUGCAUGCAUACACGCCUCUGCUCUCACAAGACCACUAUUCACAUAUGUACCUGCACAAAAAUGUGCAGCAAGUGUAGUAUGAGUACGGAAUCAACGUGUACCCAGUAAGUAUCUAGCCUAACCCCGGAGAAGUAGUGACGAGGGGUUGACAUCGACACUUACUAGUGGUCCAAUAAUAUCAUGUACAGUAAAGAGGUAAGUAAACAUGAAGCAGCGUAAAUAAAUGAGAUAAACAAGUAUAGAUUAUGUGGUACAAAUACCCCUCUUUAGGAGGAAUCCGAGCUCUCCAUUUGGAAAUUUCCUCCUUAACCGGAGCAUAUAUAUGAAUAUAGUGGAUCUCAUCAGAUAGAUUUUCAUAACCCAAAUCGGGAAAACUUACAGAUACUCUGGCUUCUUGCCAAAUAUUACGCACGAUUUCCAUGAGGAUAUGAUAUAGGAAAUGCCGAGGCGUAAGGGCCAAUCCAACAUAAAAUUUAAACUUUGCACUGCCGAGGGUCGAAUGGCGCGAACCAUAGUUACAUCUAUUAAACUGCCGAAGCGAACGGCCCACUCCCAUGAGAGUGUGGUACAUAAAUCCCGUCGAGGCGAUCGGCCCGAUCCCAUAAAAGUGAAAUACAUAAUCCUACCAAGGCGAACGACCCGAUCCCAUAAGAAUGAGAAAUACAAAUCCUACCGAGGCGAACAGUCUGAUCCCAUUAGAAUAAGGAGCUUUGACGGGUCUUUGACCCCACUCACGAAUAAACCUGUGAGUUGUAAUUUCUUUUACAAAAACUUUCAAUGAAUCAAAUUUAUCACAGAAGCAUUUCGUAGGAGGAGAAAAAUUAUUUGGUGACAAAUCAUGUACUCGUGAAGCCUCUACAAUAGCAAUUCUAGUCCCAGGAAGUAAUGUAAAAAUAGAGGAAUUUAAUAGUCAAGAGACUGCUCAAAUAGUACAGCUAUAGCAUGAUGUGAACCUAAGCCUACCUGGAUAAUAACAUGAAUGUAACUACAUACGGGCUCUCGGCACCUCACACAUACGUAGCUCCCACAACAAGUAGCACACAUCAAUAUGCAACACCUAGGGGUAAUUUCCCCCUCACAGAGUUAGACAGGAGACUUACCUCGCUCCGAAAUUCUAUAACCGACUCCAAAGCCUCUCUAACACCUCAAACCGAUGCCCGUCGCCCAAACUAGUCAAUUAAGAUGCAACCCAAACAAAAUGUACUCUAAUUCUCAUAAUUUAUCAAUUUAUAACAAUUUUCAACUCCGCUCGAAAAAUCGAUAAAGCAACCCUCGGGCCCACAUGCUCGAAUUCUGAAGCUUUUCGAAUACAAACACUACCCAUAGCACUACGAACUCAAAUAUAUAAUUUAUUCUAAAUUUCAUGCCCAAAUUCGUGAUCAAAAUACAAGAAUACCAAUUUCUAGGUUUUUCUUCAAAAUCCUAAAUUUUCACAAAUUUCCAAGUUUAAAUCCUUAUAUAAUCCAAGUAUUUAACUUGCAAUAGAUGGGAAUCACUUACCUUGACAUAGAUGACGCAAAUCUCCCUUCCAAGAGCUCCAAAUAUCGUCAAACCAAAUGAAAAAUGGGUGACAUGAACCCAAACCCCGCUUUAAAAACAUUCUGCCCAGCCCGACCUUCGCACCUGCGGUCAAAUAGCUGCUUAUGCGGCUCCGCACCUGCAGAUAUUCCAUUGCAGGUGCGGCUCUAGCUCGGCCCAACAGUCCUGCAUCUUCGGUCCAUGUAGCGCAUCUACGCGUCCGCUUCUGCGGUCCAUGCGCCGCACCUGCACCCAUCGCCCUCUCUAGCGUUGCCCACUUAGCACAUGCGCCUUCGCAGGUGCGCCCAAAUGUUCCGCACAUGCGGUUGCUGACCAGCCUCCUCUCCGUCGCACCUGCGACUCGUGGCUCGCACCUACGGCCGUUUUCAGGCAUGUGCGAUUGCACCAGAUAUCAGCUGCCUCAGCAUUUCAUCGAAGUCCAAACUCGAUCCGUUAACCAUCCGGAAUCCACCCGAGGCCCUCGGGACCUCAACCAAAUAUACCAACACAUCCAAAAACACAUCACGAACUUAGUCGAGCCUUUAAAUCACAUCAAACAACCCUAAAACAUGUUUUACCCUCUAAUUCAAACUUAUUGAACUUUCAAACAUCAACUUCUACAAUCGAUGCCGAAACUUAUCAAAUCACGUACGAUUGACCUCAAAUUUUGCACACAAUUCAUGAUCGACAUUACGGACCUACUCCAACUUCCAGAAUCAAAAUCCGACCCCGAUAUCAAAAAGUCCAAUCCCGGUCAAACUUCUUAAAAUUAUCCAAGUUUCCAACUUUCGCCCAAAAUGACCUAUGGACCUCUAAAUCCACUUCCGGACGCGCUCCUAAGACCGGAAUCAUCAUACGGAGCUAUUUCCAGACUUGGAAUCCCAAACGGACGUCGAUAUCAUUAAAACGCACUUCAACUCAAAUUUAUGAAAUCCUUCCAAAAUGCUAACUUCCACAAUAGGCGCCGAAACGUUCCUGGAUCAUCCAGAAUCUGAUCCGGACAUACGCCCAAGUCCAAAAUCAUCAUAAGAACAUGUUGGAACCUUCAAAUCCCAAUUCCGAGGUCAUCUACUCACAAAUCACACUUUAGUCAAUUCCUCCAACUUAAGGCUUUUGAAAGUAGAAUUUUUUUUCCAAAUCAAUUCUGAACUUCUAGAAUUUAAAUUCCGACCACGCGUUAAAGUCAUAAUACCUGAAGUGAAGCUGCUCAGGGCCUCAAACCGCUGAACGACGCGCUAGAGCUCAAAACGACCGAUCGGGUCAUUACAUUCUCUCCCACUUAAAUAUACGUUCGUCCGCGAACGUGCUAAGAACUGCCCCGGAGCUGACCAUAAUCAAUGUUUAACACCUUAUGCACUUGCCCAUGCUACCACAACCCAGUUGAGCACAUUAGCUGGAGCGAACCUGAUUAUCUUUCCUUUUAUCUGGUCAAAUAACUUUAGAACCAAAUUAAAACAUCUGAAAUCCCCUUCCAUGUCUAUUUCCAACAUACAAACGCCGUACUAAUCACUACACGAUGCACCAAUACAUGUUCGCAUACCUUGAAUCCACACCAUGCACUGUAUAAUUCACAUGACCAUAAUAACAUCCCCUAAUAACAACAGUUGAAAACACAUGAAUCUGAUGCUUAUAACACACCUCAUGACUCAUAUAAGUCCUGUUCCAACUCUUGGAAUACUGCCACGACAGAGAAGAUGUGUAGAACUCAUAACCACCUGUCGAAUCACAAUUUAUGGAGUCUCUCCUCUAGACAAGAACCAUUACCUCAUUAUGGACAGAAUAAUAAUAUUUACUUUUAAAUAUGCUUCAUAUAAAUCUGAUCUCACUGAUCCCAGGUCCAAUAAUUUCAUCUCACCCAGUACAAACUGCUUAGGCAUUAAUCCACCUCAGACACUACCGAAAGUCUCAUAUGAUUCCACAAUGUGCCAACAAGCUACAAACUCGAAGGUGAUACAUAAGGAAACAAACUUUGGAAAGAUCUACUCAACCCACGUAACUAAUUUAAACAACUUAAAAGAUGAUAUGAACCUUCCUCAGGAAACGAGAAGCAAAACACACAAUGAUAGAUAUGGGAAACUGUACUCAAUAACACACUGUUGCGGCGUACAACCCGAUCCACACAUGAUACCGUUGCGGCAUGCAACCCGAUCCAACCAUGAUACUCGUGACGGCGUGCCACCCGAUCCAAACAACAUAUCUCUGGUGGCGUGCCACCCGAUUCAACCAUAUACCCAUGGCAGCGUGCGACCUGAUCCACAUAUAAUAAUCUAAAGAAAACACACAUCGAGCCGAAACACUUAUUCUCACAAAAUGCCCGAAUAUCAACCAUAAGCAAGCCAAGUGCAUAAUACAAAACCUGGGGAGACGGGUAGUGUCACGUUCUACAAAAUGCAAGAACAACUAAGGAGCGAUAUAUGAUCUGCAUCUCGAGAGCCAUCCUGCUCACAUAAUACUACAAACCAUACGGGACCUCAAUACGAGUGCGAAUAAUCAAACCACCUCACAACCCACCUAGUAUAAUAUAGAUUACACGGAAUAGCUGAUGACAGAAAUAACAUCCAAGGCCCGAAGACCCUUCUAAAACAACGUUAUGCUACGAUAAGCACAUCCGGCAUGAUAUAGAGCCCACAUUCCCAUUUAGAUCCAUCCACGGACCUCAACCGAUUCUAAUCAUACCAUGCUUGGCUAAAUAGCCUCUCAAGGACCCAUAAUGACCUAUUCACGACAUAUAAGAACAUCCGUCAAAUUCGGAAUAAACUUCCACAUUCCACAACCAAAUAAACCGAGCGCCCUUCAGGCAUAAAUUCUCACAUUAGCGAUAGUACCACAAUCCCCAUACUUGGUUUUAAAUCUUUAUCCAAUCAAGUGACUACAUGUCACACUUAUACAAUAUUCCCGUGGGAUACACUCCCACGACCCUCCGUACCAGGUAAUAAGUCUGCACAUCCAUACCACCGGUUACACAAAUGUUGUAAAGCAAAUCAGUACACAAAGCCUCUUACACAGGACACCGAUCUCAGGUGACGCUAAAGACAAUACCAGCUUACUCUAAACAUCUGAAUUCUUCCCUGAUCAUCCAAGCUCGUGACAUUCUUGUCAAUACUGAACCGCGACCAUGAUCCUCAGCUUCCAAUUUCUCAUGCCGCUCACUGCACCUAACAUGCCAAUACGUGAGAGUACCCAAAUUCCAUAAUAACCCCGGACCCACUAAUAGGAUAAACACUUUUUCAUUUAGAAACCUUUUACUUAACUCAUUUCAGGAGAACCAUUGCAACACGUGACUGAAUUUACAUAACUGCAGAAAAUACAAACCUCAAGUAGUGGUCUAAACCACCAUAACUCUUCUGGGAUCCAUCUACACAUAACAGGCCACAAUACUCAAAUGCCUCCGAAUGAAAUCAAUUACAGUUGUCGUCAAGCCUCGCACGCACCGCCACAAACCACAUGUAGAACUUAACAAGCUGAAGGAACCGACCAUUGCCACCAUUAUGCUAAUUCAACCAUUGCUAACCGAUCCGACUUCUUCUAAUUUACUCUGGACUUGCCUUAGGAAUAAUAAUAGCUCCAUUCAAAACAUCAUGGAACCAAAUCCGCACUCACCCUGAGUGACCUUAUUCCACGAGACCACGUUGUCUCAAAACCCACGAACCAUCACAUACCCUCCUUGUGUGCAUAUUCACAUCUUCAACUGGUAUACCCAUUCUGAUAAUUUCUCUAUGAUUCCGAAGUUAUUUUUCUACCGUUCCUCCGAUGCUGCACCGCAAACUGUAGACAACAUAGAACAUUCCAAGUCCUUUUUUCCAUAAUCCGCUACCAAAACUCGAUACUCAGCCAUACUACGGACUCGAAAUCCUUAGGUACCACACUCUAACUUUUGAAUUCACUAGGACCGUUAUUGAGAGUCACCCACUCUGACUCGGUCCCAAAUAUAAUCAACUCCAAGGCCCUGCUGGUACAUGAACACCCUCUCGAAGAAGCAACCGUCUGAAUUCCUUUCCUUACACAUCACAUCCACAUGAAGCAUAGACUCUGAGUCUACCCAAGACAUGAACCUAAACCGAUAAGGCCAAAGAUAACACACAUUCCUCAAAUCCAUUGCCCAAGUUAUCACUGAUGUUUUCUUUCGUUAGUCGUAAUAACCCAUCAAUACACCGAUAACAAGAAAUCGCACAAGUUGACAACUACACAAUCCAAUCAUAGAUGGUGAGGCUCUCCCACUUAGCUUGAAGCUACAAUUACAUAACCCUGGGACCCGCCAAGGUCCAUUCUUCCCUAUUGACAUCAGCUAAAAGUCUAACAACGCAUUCCAAACACGAAGUCAUGUUGCAUCCAAAUAAAAUCCAUGGUCCUAGUCACUGCCCAUCACGAUUCCCAGAUUUCUCUAAGCUUCCCUCAAGGCAUGUGGCUAUUCUACCACGGAACCCAUAUGCUACUCUGCCACUCUCCCACUUUUGUCAAACCCUCCUCUUUUAAGCAAUACUCGACUUCUGUUUUCUUACACUUGGCCUUCUAGAAGUUUUACCACCGCAAGACACCUCCCACAUGUCCUUCCUCAUCCUUCACUUCCCAGUUAUUGUCUUAAAUCAAAAUUCAUCUCUGUAGCACCUGAACCAACAGAUCGCCGCCAACUCUAAACUUCCCCGAAGAUCAUCUUCCUUGAGCCAUCAACUUUAGGAUCACUGAUUCGAUUCUGAACCACAACACACUGCGACCUCUGACAGCCGCUGCCCCGGCGCCAUUUACAAUACUCUUCCCUAAAGGCGAAUUAAGAAAACCAUAACACCGGCAAACUUAACACAUUCAGCAAGAAAAAUGACACCACAUCACGGAUGAAGAUUCCACUACGCUCAAAAAUACCAAGUCUCGUUACUCCAUCAACCCCAAACCUGAACAUUCUUAGUCUGAUUGCCUUCCCUCCGCUGGAAAUAAAACACUGAGCAACUGAAUCAUGCACUGAGUAAAACCUCCUUUCAAGUUAUUCACUACCUCGACGUAUAGGUAAGCGUCCUACCAUUACACAAACAUUGUACGAUAGCAACACACGAAUUGUCAUAACAAUCAAAGCCAAAUCUAAAAACUUUAGAUAAUAAUGAUACUGAGCUGAAACGACAGAAUAGCCUUCCGCAAGGCCACGACUCUAGCCCAAUCAAAUACGUAGGGAGAAACAUCCUGCACCACAUCUGUAGUACCUUCCUCGAAUCCCAAUCUAUAACAAUCUUAUGCACUUCACGUCGCAUAAGAUUCAAUAGGAAAGAAAUAAAAGUACAAGCCUCAAAAGAAUCAAUUCGCGCGAUGAGGAAUCAAGAAGGGAAGUGCUCCUAUUGCCUUGUAGCCUCUCGAAGAUAAGUACAGGAGUCUCUGUACCGAUCCGCAAGACUCUACUAAACUCGCUCAUAACACAUGAGACCUAAGUGAACCUAGCGCUCUGAUACCAUGUUGUCACGACCCAAAAUCCGGUAAAGGUCGUGAUGGCGUCGGACGCCGCUGUCAGGUAAGCCAAAAAUAAAUACUUAAUUUGGUUCUCAUUUUUAAUAUUUUUGAAAUCAUAUUUUCCUUCGAUUAAAUAGUAAAAUAUGGAAUUCACAGUGUAAAUAAUAAUAUUCUUAACAAUUUCAAUACAAAACAACCCAUAAUCACCCCAAAAUCCGGUGUCACAAGUUCAUGAGCAUCAACUAGUAAUGUAAAAUAAAAUACAGCAUCUGUCCGGAAUAUAACUUUGGACGGGAGAAUAUAAAUACUCUAAAGGAGACUCUGUCGGUUGCGGGUUGUUAUAUGGAAUGCAGCUGAUGUAAGUCCCUGCAUGCAUACAUGCCUCGGCUCUCACAAGACCACUAGUCGCAUAUGUACCUACAGAAAAAUGUGCAGCAAGUGUAGUAUGAGUAUGAAAUCAAUGCGUACCCAGUAAGUAUCUAGCCUAACCCCGGAGAAGUAGUGACGAGGAGUCGACAUCGACACUUACUAGUGGUCCAAUAAUAUCAUUAACAGUAAAGAGGUAAGUAAACAUGAAGCAACGUAAACAAAUGAGAUAAACAAGUAUAGAUUAUGUGGUACAAAUACCCCUCUUUAUGAGGAAUUCGAGCUCUCCAUUUGGAAAUUUCCUGCUUAACCAGAGCAUAUAUAUGAAUAUAGUGGAUCUCAUCAGAUAGAUUUUCAUAACACAAAUCGGGAAAACUUACAGAUACUAUAGCUUCUUGCCAAAUAUUACGCACGAUUUCCAGGAGUUUAUGAUAUAGGAAAUGCCAAGGCGAACGGCCCGAUCUAACAUAAAAUUUAAAUUGUGCACUGCCGAGGGUCAAACGGCGCGAACCAUAGUUACAUCUAUUAAACUGUCGAGGCGAACGACCAGCUCCCAUGAGAGUGUGGUACAUAAGUCUUGCCGAGGUGAUCGGUCCGAUCCCAUAAGAGUGAAAUACAUAAUCCUGCCGAGGCGAAUGACCCGAUCCCAUAAGAGUAAGAAAUACAAAUCCUGCCGAGGCGAACAGCCCGAUCUCAUUAGAAUAAGGAGCUUUGACGGGUCCUUGACCCCACUCACGAAUAAACGUGUGAGUUGUAAUUUCUUUUACAAAAACUUUCAAUGAAUCAUAUAUAUCACGGAAGCAUUUCGUAAAAGGAGUAAAAUUAUUUAGUGACAAAUCAUGUACUUGUGAAGCCUCUACAAUAGCAAUUCUAGUCCCAGGUAGUACUGUAAAAAUAGAGGAAUUUAAUAGUAGAGAGACUGCUCAAAUAGUACAGCUAUAGCAUGAUGUGAACCUAAGCCUACCCGGAUAAUAACAUGAAUGUAACUACGUACGGGCUCUCGUCACCUCGCACGUACGUAGCCCCCACAACAAGUUGCACACAUCAAUAUGCAACACCUAGCGGUAAUUUCCCCCUCACAGAGUUUGACAGUAGACUUACCCCACUCCAAAAUUCCAUAAUCGGCUCCUAAGCCUCUCUAACANNNNNNNNNNNNNNNNNNNNNNNNNNNNNNNNNNNNNNNNNNNNNNNNNNNNNNNNNNNNNNNNNNNNNNNNNNNNNNNNNNNNNNNNNNNNNNNNNNNNNNNNNNNNNNNNNNNNNNNNNNNNNNNNNNNNNNNNNNNNNNNNNNNNNNNNNNNNNNNNNNNNNNNNNNNNNNNNNNNNNNNNNNNNNNNNNNNNNNNNNNNNNNNNNNNNNNNNNNNNNNNNNNNNNNNNNNNNNNNNNNNNNNNNNNNNNNNNNNNNNNNNNNNNNNNNNNNNNNNNNNNNNNNNNNNNNNNNNNNNNNNNNNNNNNNNNNNNNNNNNNNNNNNNNNNNNNNNNNNNNNNNNNNNNNNNNNNNNNNNNNNNNNNNNNNNNNNNNNNNNNNNNNNNNNNNNNNNNNNNNNNNNNNNNNNNNNNNNNNNNNNNNNNNNNNNNNNNNNNNNNNNNNNNNNNNNNNNNNNNNNNNNNNNNNNNNNNNNNNNNNNNNNNNNNNNNNNNNNNNNNNNNNNNNNNNNNNNNNNNNNNNNNNNNNNNNNNNNNNNNNNNNNNNNNNNNNNNNNNNNNNNNNNNNNNNNNNNNNNNNNNNNNNNNNNNNNNNNNNNNNNNNNNNNNNNNNNNNNNNNNNNNNNNNNNNNNNNNNNNNNNNNNNNNNNNNNNNNNNNNNNNNNNNNNNNNNNNNNNNNNNNNNNNNNNNNNNNNNNNNNNNNNNNNNNNNNNNNNNNNNNNNNNNNNNNNNNNNNNNNNNNNNNNNNNNNNNNNNNNNNNNNNNNNNNNNNNNNNNNNNNNNNNNNNNNNNNNNNNNNNNNNNNNNNNNNNNNNNNNNNNNNNNNNNNNNNNNNNNNNNNNNNNNNNNNNNNNNNNNNNNNNNNNNNNNNNNNNNAUAACAAUUUCCAACUCCGCUCGAAAAAUCGAUAAAGCAACCCUCGGGCCCACUUGCCCGGAUUCCGAAAAUUUUCGAAUACAAACACUACCCAUAACACUACGAAAUCAAAUAUAUAAUUUAUUCUCAAUUUCAUGCCCAAAUUCGUGAUCAAAAUCCAAGAAUAUCAAUUUCUAUGUUUUUCUUCAAAAUUCCAAAUUUCCACAAAUUUUCAAGUCUAAAUCCUUAUAUAAUCCAAGUAUUUAACUUGCAAUAGGUGGGAAUCACUUACCUUGUCAUAGAUGAUGAAAAUCUCCCUUCCAAGAGCUCCUAAUAUUGCCCAACCAAAUGAAAAAUGGGUGAAAUGAACCCAAACCCCGCUUUACAAACAUUCUGCCCAGCCCGAACUUCGCACCUGCGGUCAAAUAGCCGCUUCUACGGCUCCGCACCUGCGGAAAUUUGAUCGCAGGCGCGGCUCCAGCUCGGCCAAACAGUCCCGCAUAUGCGCUCCAUGUAGCGCAUUUGUGUGUCCGCUUCUGCAGUUUAUGCGUCGCACCUGCGCCCAUCGCCCGCUCCGGCGUUGCCGACUUCGCACAUGCGCCUUUGCAGGUGCGCCCAAAUGUUCCACACAUGCGGUUGCUGACCAGCCUCCUCUCCUUCGCACCUGUGACUCGUGGCUCGCACCUACGCGCUCUCACCUACGGCCCUUUUCACGCAGGUGCGAUUGCACAAGAUAUCAGUUACCUCAGCAUUUCAUCCAAGUUCAAAUUCGAUCCGUUAAUCAUCCGGAAUCCACCCGAGGCCCUUAGGACCUCAACCAAAUAUACCAACAAGUCCCAAAACACAUCACGAACUUAGUCAAGCCUUUAAAUAACAUCAAACAACGCUAAAAAUAUGAUUUAUCCUCUAAUUCAGACUUAGUGAACUUUCAAACUUCAACUUCUACAAUCGAUGCCGAAACCUAUCAAAUCACGUACGAUUGACCUAAAAUUUUGCACACAAGUCAUGAUCGACAUUAUGGACCUACUCCAACUUCUGGAAUCAAAAUCCGACCCCGAUAUCAAAAAUUCCAAUCCCGGUCAAACUUUCGCCCAAAUUGCCCAAAAAUGACCUACAGACCUCCUGAUACACUUCUGGAUGUGCUCCUAAGACCGGAAUCAUUAUACAGAGCUAUUCCCAGACUCGAAAUCCCAAAAGGAUGUCGAUAUCAUUGAAACACACUUCAACUUAAAUUUAUGGAAUCCUUCCAAAAUGCCAACUACCACAAUAGGCGCCAAAACGUUCCUGUGUCAUCCAAAACCCGAUCCGGACAUACGCCCAAGUCCAAAAUCAUCAUAUGAACCUGUUGGAACCUUCAAAUCCUGAUUCCGAGGUUGUCUACUCACAAAUCACACUUUAGUCAAUUCCUCCAACUUAAGGCUUCUGAAAUUAGAAUUUUCUUUCCAAAUCAAUUCUGAACUUCUCGAAAUUAAAUUUCGAUCAUGCGUACAAGUCAUAAUACCUGAAGUGAAGCUACUCAGUGCCUCAAACCGCUGAAUGACGCUCUAGAUCUCAAAACGAUUGGUCGGGUCGUUAUAUUCUCUCCCACUUAAACAUACGUUUGUCCGGGAACGUGCUAAGAACUGCCCCAGAGCUGACCAUAAUCAAUGUUUAACACAUCAUGCACCUACCUGUGCUACCACAACCCAGUUGAGAACAUUAGCUGGAGCAAACCUGAAUAUCCUUCCUUUUAUCUGGUCAAAUAACUUUAGAACAAAAUUCUAACAUCUGAAAUCCCCUUCCAUGUCUGUUUCCAAUAUACGAACGCCAUAGUAAUCACUACAUUAUGCACCAAUAUAUGUUAGCAUACCUUGAAUCCACACCAUGCACUGCAUAAUUCACAUGACCAUAAUAACAUUCCCUAAUAACAAAAGUCGAAAACCCACGAAUCUGAUGCUCACAACCCACCUCAUGACUCAUAUAAGUCCUGUUCCAACUCUUGCAAUNCUGCCACNNNNNNNNNNNNNUCUCGUCGCACACAGUACGAGCUGCUCAGGCAGUAAGCCACCUCAGACACUGCCAAAAGUACUCAUAUGAUGCCACAAUGUGCCAACAAGCUACAAACUCGAAGGUGAUACAUAAGGAAACAAACUCUGGAAAUAUCUACUCAACCCACGUAACUAAUUUAAACAACCAAAAAGAUGUUAUGAACCUUCCUCAGGAAACUAGAAGCAAAACACACAAUGAUAGAUAUGGGAAACUGUACUCGAUAACACACUAUUACGGCAUGCAACCCGGUCCACACAUGAUACCGUUGCGGCGUGCAACCCGAUCCAACCAUGAUACUCGUGGCGGCGUGCCACCCGAUCCAAACAACAUAUCUGUGGUGGCGUGCCACCCGAUCCAACCAUAUACUCGUAGCGGCGUGCCACCCGAUCCACAUAUAAUAAUCUAAAGAAAACACACAUCAAGCCGAAAUGCCUAUUCUCAUGAAAUGCCCGAAUACCAACCAUAAGCACGCCAAGUGCAUAAUAUAAACCCUGGGGAGACGGGUAGCGUCACGUUCUACAAAACUCAAGAACAACUAAGGUGCGAUAUAUGAUCUGCAUCUCGAGAGCCAUCCUGCUCACAUAAUACUACAAACCAUACGGGACCUCAAUACGAGUAUGAAUAAUCAAACCACCUCAUCACCACCUGGUAUAAUAUAGAUUACACGGAAUAGCUGACGACAGAAAUAACAUCCAAGGCUCGAAGACCCUUUUGAAACAACGCUAUGCUAAGAUAAGCACAUCCGGCCUGAUAUAUAGCCCACAUUCCCAUUUAGAUCCAUCCACGGACCUCAACCGAUUCUGAUCAUUCCAUGCUUGGCUAAAUAGCCUAUUAAGGACCCACAAUGACCUAUUCACGACAUAUAAGAACAAUUGUCAAAUCUGGAACAAACUUUCACAUUCCACAACCAAAUGAACUGAGCGCCCUUCAGGCAUCAAUUCUCACAUUAGCGAUAGUACCACAAUCCCCAUACUUGGUUUUAAAUCUUUAUCCAAUCAAGUGACUACAUGUCACACUUAUACAAUAUUCCCGUGGGAUACACUCCCACAACCCUCCGCACCAGGUAACAAGUCUGCACAUCCAUACCACCGGUCACACAAAUAUUGUAAAGCAAAUCAAGAAGCUGCAAAAUCAGUACACAGCCUCUUACACAGGACACCGAUCUCAGGUGAUGCUAAAGACAGUACUAGCUUACUCUAAACAUCUAAAUUCUUCCCUGAUCAUCCAAGCUCGUGACAUUCUUAUCAAUACCGAAACACGACCACGAUCCUCAGCUUCCAAUUUCCAAUGCCGCUCACUGCACCUAACAUGCAAAUAAGUAAGAGUACCAAAAUUCCAUAAUAAUCCCUGACCCACUAAUAGGAUGAACUCGCUCAUAACUCGUGAGACCUAAGUGAACCUAGCGCUCUGAUAACAUGUUGUCAUGACCCAAAAUCCAUUAAAGGUCGUGAUGGCACCGGACGCAGCUGUCAGGCAAGCCAAAAAUAAAUACUUAAUUUGGUUCUCAUUUUUAAUAUUUUUGAAAUAAUAUAUUCCUUCGAUUAAAUAGUAAAAGUUGGAAUUCACAGUGUAAAUAAUAAUAUUCUUAACAAUUUCAACACAGAACAACCCAUAAUCACCCCAAAACCCAGUGUCACAAGUGCAUGAGCAUCAACUAGGAAUGUAAAAUAAAAUACAACAUCUGUCUGGAAUACAACUUUGGACAAGAGAAUAUAAAUAAUCUGAAGGAGACUCUGCCAGCUGUGGGUCGUAAUAUGUAAUGCAGCUCACAUAAGUCUCUGCAUGCAUACAUGUCUCUGCUCUCACAAGACCACUAGUCACAUAUCUACCUGCACAAAAAUGUGCAACAAGUGUAGUAUGAGUAUGAAAUCAACGUGUACCCAGUAAGUAUCUAGCCUAUCCCUGGAGAAGUAAUGACGAGGAGUCGUCAUCGACACUUACUAGUGGUCCAAUAAUAUCAUUAACAGUAAAGAGGUAAGUAAACAUGAAGCAACGUAAAUAAAUGAGAUAAACAAGCAUAGAUUAUGUGGUACAAAUACCCCUCUUUACGAGGAAUUCAAGCUUUCCAUUUGGAAAUUUCCUCCUUAACCGGAGCAUAUAUAUGAAUGUAGUGGAUCUCAUCAGAUAGAUUUUCAUAACCCAAAUCGGGAAAACUUACAUAUACUAUGGCUUCUUGCCAAAUAUUACGCAUAAUUUUCAUGAGGAUAUGAUAUAGGAAAUGCCGAGGCGUACGGCCUGAUCCAACAUAAAAUUUAAAUUAUGCAUUGUCGAGGGUCGAACGGCGGAAACCAUAGUUACAUCUAUUAAACUGCCGAGACGAACGGCCUGCUCCCAUGAGAGUGUCGUACAUAAAUCCUGCCGAGGUGAUCGGUCUGAUCCCAUUAGAGUGAAAUACAUAAUCCUGCUGAGGCGAACGACCCGAUCCCAUAAGAGUAAGAAAUACAAAUUCUGUCGAGGCGAACGGCCCGAUCUCAUUAGAAUAAGGAGCUUUGACGGGUCCUUGACCCCACUCACGAAUAAACGUGUGAGUUGUAAUUUCUUUUACAAAAACUUUCAAUGAAUCAUAUAUAUCACGGAAGCAUUUCGUAAGAGGAGUAAAAUUAUUCGGUGACAAAUCAUGUACACGUGAAGCCUCUACAAUAGCAAUUCUAGUCCCAGGUAGUAAUGUAAAAAUAGAGAAUUUAAUAGUAGAGAGACUACUCAAAUAGUACAGCUAUAGCAUGAUGUGAACCUAAGCCUACCCGAGUAAUAAAAUGAAUGCAACUACGUAUGGGCUCUCGUCACCUCGCGUGUACGUAGCCCGCACAACAAGUAGCACAUGUCAAUAUGCAACACCUAGGGGUAAUUUCCCCCUCACAGAAUUACACAGGAGACUUACCUCGCUCCGAAAUUCCAUAACCAGCUCCAAAGCCUCUCUAACACCUCAAACUGAUGCUCGUCGCUCCAAACUAGUCAAUUAAGAUGCAACCCAAUCAAAAUGUAUUCUAAUACUCAUAAUUAAUCAAUUUAUAACAAUUUCCAACUCCGCUCGAAAAAUCGAUAAAGCAACCCUCGGGCCCACGUUCCCGAAUUCCGAAAGUUUUUGAAGACAAACACUACCCAUAGCACUACGAACUCAAAUAUAUAAUUUAUUCUCAAUUUUAUGCCCAAAUUCGUGAUGAAAACGCAAGAAUACCAAUUUCUAAGUUUUUCUUCAAAAUCCCAAAUUUUCACAAAUUUUCAAGUCUAAAUCCUUUUAUAAUCCAAGUAUUUAACUUGCAAUAGGUGAGAAUCACUUACCUUGACAUAGAUGACAAAACUCUCCCUUCCAAGAGCUCCAAAUAUCGCCCAACCAAAUGAAAAAUGGGUGAAAUGAACCCAAACCCCGCUUUAAAAACAUUCUGCCCAGCCCGACCUUCGCACCUGCGGUCAAAUAGCCACUUCUGCAGCUCCGCACCUGUGGAAAUUCCAUCGCAGGUGCGGCUCUAGCUCGGCCCAACAGUCCCGCAUUUGUGCUCCAUGUAGCGCAUCUGCCUGUCCGCUUCUGUGGUCUAUGUGUCGCACCUGCGCCCAGCGCCCGCUCCUGCGUUACCGACUUCGCACAUGCACCUUCGCAGGUGCACCUAAAUGUUCUGCACAUGGGAUUGCUGACCAGCCUCCUCUCCUUCGCACCUGCAACUCGUGGCUCGUACCUGCGAGCUCGCACUUGUGGCCCUUUUCACGCAGGUGUGAUUGCACCAGUUAUCAGCUGCCUCAGCAUUUCAUCUAAGUCCAAACUCGAUCCGUUAACCAUCCGGAAUCCACACGAGGCCCUCGGGACCUCAACCAAAUGUACCAACAUGUACCAAAACACAUCAUGAACUUAGUCAAGCCUUUAAUUCACAUCAAACAACGCUAAAAACACUCACCCUCCAAUUCAAACUUAUUGAACUUUGAAACUUCAACUUCUACAAUUGAUGCCGAAAACUAUCAAAUCACGUCCGAUUGACCUUAAAUUUUGCACACAAGUCAUGAUCGACAUUACGGACCUACUCCAACUUCCGGAAUCAGAAUCUGACCCCGAUAUCAAAAAGUCCACUCCCGGUCAAACUUCUUAAAAUUAUCCAAGUUUCCAACUUUUGCCCAAAUGGCCCAAAAUGACCUACGGACAUCCAAAUUCACUUCUGAAUACGCUCCUAAGACCGGUAUCGUCAUACAGAGCUAUUCCCAGACUCAGAAUCCCAAACGGACAUCAAUAUCAUUGAAAUCCUUCCAAAAUUCCAACUUCCACAAUAGGCGCCGAAACAUUCCCGGGUCAUCCAAAACCCAAUUCAGACAUACGCCCAAGUCAAAAAUCAUCAUACGAAACUAUUGAAACCAUCAAAUCUGGAUUUCUAGGUCGUCUACUCAAAAAUCGCACUUUAGUCAAUUCCUCCAACUUAAGGCUUCCGAAAUUAAAAUUUUCUUUCCAAAUCAACUCUGAACUUUUUGAAAUUAAAUUCCAACCACGCGUACAAGUCAUAAUACCUAAAGUGAAUCUGCUCAGGUCCUCAAACAAUUGAACGACUCGCUAGAGCUCAAAAUGACCGGUCGGUUCGUUACAGAUACUUUUGAUAUGUUUUUACUUGCCUUAAAUUUAUAUUUUAUUCGAGCUACCCAUAACUAAAAAGGGGAAUUGGAGAAUCUAAUGACUCCAAGACUAAAAGUUUGUACACCAUUAAGUGUUAUGCUUAGCGAUAGUUGUUUUCUAUCGUAGGUAAUGUGCGAGAAGCGAUUUGAAGAAGGCCUUUUGGAGUAGACUUUUCAGGAGCUUUUGUGGAGGUCACAUUUUCAUAUGCAUAUAGGUUUUGUAUAGUUUUGGGACUUGUACAUGAUCUAUAUGUCACACUUAUAUAUGUAAUUUUGGAGGCUUGUUGAAUCUUAAGACCAUAAGCUUGUAACUUGAAUUUGAUGACUUGUUUUGCUGUUUUAAGGCAUGUUAAUGACCCAAAUCUUGUAAUAUUCUAAAUUUACACAUUGUCUUGUAAAUAUGUACAAAGGAAAAGACUAGUUUUUCUUUUAUACUCGCUAGUUGAAAUUUAUGUACAAUGUGAACCUGCAGUGAUGUUGAAUGAAAAGUACAAUUUCGUUAGGAAGUUACUUUAACGUGUUGAUUAUUCAAGAAGGGUUGUAUCACAUUAUCUUGAUACUUUGACAUUGUAUUUCAUUUAAGAAAUUUUAUGAAGUGUAUUUUCAAAAUAAAAAAUAUUGCACUUUGAACAUUUAACGCAUGGGUCUAUUUCCACUACUAAAUUAUUAUGGAUGUCUUUUUAGAUUAAUAUCUUCUGAACAUUGUAAGUAGUAAAUUAGCUUUAUUUCAUAAGUAGCACCUUCCCAAAGGGGUUGCUACAUAGUUUGGUAUAGAGCUUUAGGUUUGUGAUUCUAGGACUAUUAUGUUGAAUUGUUAGAGUACUUGUUUCUUUUAACAUGCUUCAUUGUGUGUAGUGUGCAUAUGCAUCAUGUACAUAUCCCUAAUGCAAUGUGAUCUCCCUUAUAUAGGAAUUAAGUUAUGGCCUCUUCUUCUGAUAGACCUAUGGAAGCCGCUCGUGAGGGCUAAGAUAACUCUUAUGCCCAACCUCAUUUACAAGAAGGGUUGGAGAACAUUUCUCUUAUCUUAAUUUUCCUCCUACUAGUGGAUCUGAAGUGGGAAAUAAUCAGGGUGCAAGAGCUGGGCCACAUCCUCAUAUAAGUCAUAGUACUCCUAUUGUUGAUCCUCAUUUUCAGCAAAUGGCCGAUUACUUUCGUCACUUGGCUGGAACAAUGUAUGACCCUAAUGAAAUGAACUUUGACAAAAUGAGAAAAAUGGGUGGAGUUGAUUUUGAAGGAAAUGCUGCCAAAUUUAAGUAUGCCAUCUCACUGUUACAACGGGAUGCUUAUGAAUGGUAGGUAAGUGUACCCAAUGCCAAAGAAAAACCUCUGGUGCUUACUUGGGAUGAUUUCGUCAAAGAAUUCCGCAUGAAGUAUGUCCCACCUGCUUAUUGUGAAGCAAAGAAAAAGGAAUUUCUGUAUUUAAAGCAAAGGAGUAUGUCCAUUACUGAAUAUCAACAAAAGUUUCUCAGGCUUUCUCGUUAUGUUGUAGGUAUUAUCGAUAAUGAAAAAGAUAAGUGCAGGAGAUUCAAAGAUGGUUUGAAGAUUAUAUCCGAAAGUCUGUGGCGGUCCUACAACAUUAAAAAUUUUCCAAACUAGAUACAGCUUCUCUUACUUGGGAAAGAAUUGACAAGGAACAAGCUAGUAUAAAUGAAAAUAGGUUUAGAAAAGCUAAUUUAAAUUAUGGCGGUCCAUCCAAAGGGGGAAGUUUGACAAUUCAAAGGUUGGUAGUGUUCCCAGGUCAGCUCAACGUAAUCAAAAUAGAUCAGAUAUUUCUAUUGGUAGAACUCCAGAUUAUGGCCAAGGCAAGACUCGUAUAUCCACUUGUGCACAAUGUGGGAAGAAUCUCUAUGGUACUUGUAGGAGAGCUUCUGGUGCUUGUUUUAAUAGUGGGAGCUUCGAUCACAAAGUGAAGGAUUGUCCUAAUCCUAACCCUAUUUCUUUUCGCGUACUGAAGGUUCAAUUCAGAAACCUACUACCACUCCUUCUCAAGGGAAAAGAGGUGCAAGAUCUAGAAACACCCAAACAACAAGUGUGGGUCGAGCUAAUCAAGACAGUAGGCCAAGAUCUACAAGAUGAGCUUAUGCUAUGAGACAAAGGGAUGACCAAGAUAGGGCAAAAGUGGUUGUUGAUAAAUUUCACUUAUUUGAUUUAUGUGUUGUUACACUAUUUGAUCCUGGUUCUACACAUUCCUAUGUUUGCUCAUCACUUGUUUUUUCUCAAAAUAUGAAAUCUGCGAGACUUGAUUGUGGUGUGUUUGUCAAAAGUCCUUUGGGUCAUCAGGUUGUUUGUAAUCAGAUUUAUCGAGGUUGUCCAUUCGUGAUUUAAAAUCUAGUCUUCCCUGGUGAUUUGAUUGAAAUGUCUUUCCAAGACUAUGAUGUCAUCAUCGGUAUGGAUUGGCUUCAUAGAUACCAUGCAUUAAUUGAUUGUAAUUCAAAGCGUGUGACCUUUAAAGCUCUUACAUUUUCACACAUUGUUAUUCAAGGUGAAAGAUCAUUAACAUCUAAUAUUAUCUCUGCGGUUGUGGCAAGAAAGAUGAUUCGUCGGGGUUGUGAAGCUUAUCUUGAUCAUGCAGUUGAUACACACCAAGAAAGUCCAAGCUUUAAAAAUAUACCAGUUGUAUGUGACUUUCUUGAUGUUUUUUCCUGAAAAUCUUCAUGUGUUGCCCCCGGAAAGGGAAGUUGAAUUUCCUUUAGAGAUUAUUCCUAGAACUACUCCUAUUUUUAUAACUCCUUACUGAAUGGCUCCAGUGAAAUGAAGGAGUUGAAAAUUCAAUUGCAAGCACUUUUUGAGAAUUGUCUUAUUUGCCCAAGUGUUUCUCCUUGGAGAGCUCCUAUUCUAUUUGUGAAAAAGAAAGAUGGUACUAUUUGGCUUUGUAUUGAUUACUGGAAACUGAGCAAGGUAACAGUUAAAAAUAGAUAUCCAUUGCCCACGAUCGAUGAUUUAUUUGACCAGCUAAAGGGCCAGGUUGUUCUCAAAAAUUGACUUGAGGUCUGGGUAUUACCAAGUACGAGUAAGUGAGCAAGAUGUUCCUAAAAUUGCUUUGAGGACUCAAUAUGGUCAUUAUGAAUUUUUGGUGAUUCCAUUUGAGUUGACAAAUUCUCCUGCGGUGUUCAUAGAUCUAAUUAAUCGUGUAUUCAAGCCUUAUCUUGAUCAAUUUAUGGUGGUAGUUAUUGAUGAUAUUUUAGUAUAAUCCAAGAAUAGUGAAGAUCAUGAUAAACAUCAAGGGGUGGGCGUUCGGUCGGUUCGGUUCAGUUUGAAGAAAUUCGGUUCGGUUAUUUGGUUUUCGAUUUUGUAAAAGUAGUAACCGAAAUCAAACUAAAAUAAUUUAGGUUCAGUUCGGUUUUCUAAUUUUGGUUCGGUUUAUUUCUAAUCGGUUUUCGGUUUGAACAUUAUUAUAUUUGAAUCUCUCUAUGUAAUAAUUGGACUGACGAAUUUGUUGGGUUUUUUUCAAAAUUUCGAUAAGUUAGAAUAAAAUGGUAAGUUUGGAUUGGGUCUUUGAUGGACUUCAAAAUUGGGCCUAUAUUAUUACCUAUGGGCUUAGCCUAUAUAUAACUUAAAGAAUCUAUAUGCUAAUAAUUCGGUUUUUCGGUUAACCGAAACAAAUAAAUUAAUAACCGAAAACCGAACCAAAAAACUGAAAUUUUAAAAUUUUAAACUGAAACCGACCGAAAAAAUCGAAUAACCGAAACUGAAAUAAAAAUAUUUUCCGUUCUGUCGGUUUCUUCGGUUCGGACCGAAAUAUGCCCACCCCUAUAAACAUCUCCGGAUUGUUUUGCAAAUUUGGAGAAAAAUCUUCUAUUCCAAGCUUUCCAAAUGUGAAUUUUGGCUAAGUGAAGUUGCUUUUAUGGGGAAUGUUGUGUCAGCAAAAGGUGUGAAAGUUGAUCCUAGUAAGAUUCGAGCUAUUAUUGAAUGGAAACUGCCUAAAAGUCCAACUGAAAUAAGAAGUUUUUUGGGCUUAGCGGGAUACUAUAGAAGGUGUGUCAAAUGCUUCUCCAUUAUAUCCUCUCCUUUGACUAAACUUUUGAGGAAGGACGUCAAGUUCGUGUGGGAUCAAGAGAGCUUUGAAAAGCUCAAAUCGUUAUUGACUAAAGCUCCUAUAAUUACUCUACCUACUGUAGGGAAAGAGUAUGUGAUAUAUAGUGAUGCUUAUCAUCAUGGCUUGGGUUGUGUUCUGAUACAAGAAGGAAAAGUGGUUGUGUAUGCCUCUCGAAAACUGAAACCACAUGAGUUGAUUUAUCCUACUCACGACCUUGAGCUUGUUUCCAUAGUGUUUGCUUUGAAAAUUUGGAGACAUUACUUGUAUGGAAAAAGUAUCAUAUAUUCCCUGAUCACAAGAGUUUGAAGUACUUGGGUACACAGAAAGAGUUACAUUUGAGACAGCGUAGAUGGCUUGAGCUUAUCAAAGAUUAUGACUGCACAAUUGACUAUCAUCCAGGUAAAGCCAAUGUUAUUGCCGAUGCUCUAAGUCGCAAAUCUUUUGCCGAUUUAUCUCUAAGUACUUUGCCUUUGUUUCUUGAACUAAGAGCCAUGAAGGCUUGUCUUGCAUUUAAAGCUGAUGGUUCUAUUCUUGCAAGUUUGCAAGUCAAGCGAGUUCUAUUUGAACAGGUAAAAGAAGCACAGAAAUUGGAUGAGAAGCUUGUGAAACUGAUCAAAGAAGUUUGAAAUGGAGAAAAGCUUGAUUUUAAUUUGAGGGAAGAUGGUGUCCUAUUUUAUCAAAAUAGGUUAUGUGUUCCUAAGGAUGACAAAUUGAGGAAAGAAAUUCUAAGUGAAGCACAUACUUCACCAUAUGCAAUGCAUCUUGGAGGCACUAAAAUGCACCAAACCAUCAAAGUACACUACUGGUGGAAUGGUAUGAAGAAAGACAUUAUAGAGUUUAUCUCUAAAUGCUUGAUUUGUAAAAAAUAUAAAGGCUGAGCAUCAAGUCCCUGCUUGUUUGCUACAACCCUUGUCCAUACAUGAGUGGAAAAGGGAGAGAAUAACGAUGGACUUUGUUUCUGCGCUUCCACGCAAUUCAAAGAAAUCGUGAUGCAAUUUGGGUUAUAGUUGAUAGGCUAACCAAUAAUGCUCAUUUCUUGGCAAUCAGAGUGAACUAAACACUUGAACGUUUAGCAGAAUUGUACGUUAAUGAGAUUGUGAGGUUGCAUGGGGUUCCUGUUCUAUUGUAUCUAACUGAGACCCGAGGUUUACAUCCAGAUUUUGGACUACCUUGCAAGAAGCUUUGGGUACUAGGUUGAAUUUUUGUACUUCUUUCCAUCCUCAUAUAGACGGUCAGUCCGAGAGGGUAAUACAUAUUGGUCAAUCCGAGAGCAUCAAGUCUUUCCAUCGCUUAAACAUUGCUUCAGAUAGACAAAAGUCUUAUGUUGAUAUUAAGAGGCGUGAAAUUGAGCAUCAAGUCAGGGAAAAGGCAUUUUUAAAGGUUUCUCCAUGGAAGAAGAUUAUGAGAUUUGGUCAAAAAGUGAAACUUAGUCCUCGAUUUAUUAGACCUUAUGAAGUGCUGGAGAAAGUUGGACUAGUUGCAUAUAAACUAGCUCUUCCACCAGAGUUAGACAAGAUCCACAAUGUCUUCCCAUGUUUUUAUUCUUAGAAGAUACAGCUCAGAUCCAUCUUAUGACCUUCCUGUUGAAUCUAUUGAGGCCAAUCAUGAUUUGACAUAUGAAGAAGAACCAGUCCAAAUCUUAGCACAUGAGAUAAAAUAGCUUAGAAAUAAGAGGAUCCCCUUUAUGAAAAUCCUUUCGAGAAAUCAUUCUGGCAAGGAAGCUACUUGGGUGCGAAAAGAGGAUAUGCGAGUUCGAUAUCCACAUUUGUUGCGCGACUAGUAUACGGUAAAUUUCGGGACAAAAUUUAUUUAAGGGGAAUAGAGUUGUAACAGCCCCAAAGUUUUUUAGACUAAUAUUUGCAUUCUCAAUUGACCAUCUAUCUAUAUAAUAAGGAUAGAUUUUACUUUGCACUUCCUAAACUAGAAUUUGACGAUAUUUGAAAUUGCUUAUUUUAUAUUGUGGUCAUAUUUAUAAGGAGUUGACAUGAUUUUUUAUGUAGAACACCCUUGUUAUCAUUUUUGUUAAAUUAGCAAGAAAUAGAAUAGGAAACAAGUAUUUUGGUCCAACCCAAAUCUUGAUCCUUAUCUAAGUAAUAUAUAUCUCUUUUGGACAACUUUUCAUAAACACCUCCCAUUUCAUUCAUUCAUCACAAAGAAAACCCCAAUCCUCUAUCCUUAUUAUCUUUAGAAAUAUUACACCAAAACCUCUAGGUUCUUCAACUAAGCUAACAAUCAAGUAUUGUUCUUGUUAAACUACAAGUUGCUCCUCUCUUUUGUAUUAAUGUACUAAACCUGUUUUUUAUACUAGACAGCUGAUAGUUUUUCAUUAUAUCUCCUUGUAUAGAACUUUGUCUUAAGUGAGACAAACUUUUCUGGAAAGCUAUUCCAUAGAUAUAUAACUUUUGUUCAUUCUCCAAAACUUGGUUUUGCAUGUAUUUACCCAAAAAAUAGUGAUAAAAUACAGGGCAUGUGCUGCCCAGAUUUUCUGUUUUACAAACCGUGCAUGUACUACUGUUAGUAUUUUGAGCAUAACGCUUUGUACAAAAUGGAUAUAGGGGUGAUUCAAGACUCUUUGGAACCCUAAGAAAUAUAUCUACAAAUAUAUGGAAGUCAUAAACUUUAAUUUGUCCGUUUACAUCUUCAAACCUUAGCCACAACAUAAGACAAUGAUAUUGUCACGACCCCAAAUUCCCACUUUAGGAAGUCGUGAUGGCACCUAAUCUCUAAGACUAGGUAAGCAUAACAUACAUUGAGAAUUAGCAGAAAUAACAACCUAGAUAUCAAAUUAAACUGUAAGACUAUUAUGGUAAAUCCCAAACAGUACAACUAUCAAAUAUCUCCCAAAAUCGGUAAAACGGAGUCAUAAGAUCUAAGAAGUAUAGUAGAAGUCUCAGAAUACAACACUGUUUGAUGCGAAAAUAAAUAGUAGAAAGGGCAGUGGUAGAAGGUGACUCUGAGGCGUGCGAGUGUCAAGUAGGUAUACUUUGAAGUCUCCGGAAUAGCUAGUCCAAAUCAUUGGCGUCUGACACGAGCAGAAGUACCUGGAUCUGCACAAAAAUAUGCAUAAUAGUACCAUGAGUACACCACAACAGUACCCAGUAAGUAUCAAGCCUAACCUCGGUAGAGUAACGACGUCAAGGCCCCAAUUUCCCACCUUAGGAUGUCGUGAUGGAAUCUAGUCUCUAAGACUAGGUAAGCCUAACACAUGCUAAUUUAAUAAUAUAAUUUAACUAUUUAAUCAUUUAUCAUAACCAUUAAAUGACAUGCAUAGCCGCAAGAAGCCAAUAGUUAUACAUUUUCGAAAAUCGGUAGUACCGAGUCAUAAGCACUACUAAAACACGCUAGAAUCUCUAAACACAAUAAUAUUUUGAAUUGCAAAUUAACAGUAGCAUAAUGAAGUAAGAUGGUGACUCCGAAGCCUAUGAACGUCAAGCAGGUAUACCUUGAAGUCUCCCACUGUGCAGACGCAACUCUCAACAAUACAAUCAGAAUACCUUGAUGUGCACAAAAAUAUGCAGAAGCAUAGCAUGAGUACACCAUAACGGUAUCCAGUAAGUAUCAAGCCUAACCUCGGUAGAGUAGUGACAAGGCCAGGUCAAGACAUCUACUAGCCAUAGAAACCUGUUCAAGAUAUACAUAAGCUAACAAUGGAAAGAACAUCAAUGUAAGACCAACGGCGAAAAAAUUAUUAAUUUACAACCAACAAUGAAGUAAUAGAAACAUAAAUGACAGCAAGUAGUAAAUGAGUAAUAAAGAAAUAAUAUAAUCAGAACACCGAUGAGAUGUAAAUGAACUCAAAUAAGGAAAAUUGAUUGACAACUCAAAUAAUCAAAUCGCUCCCAACACAUGGACUUACAACAAGAAUUGCCCCGAGGCACCACACCUCAAAUGAAAUAAUGAGUUUGUUUUAGAAAUCAAGUAAAGUAAAAUAAUAUAUAAUUUGUACGAAACAGAGUAUAAGAUGGGUUUAGUUUAGAAAUCAAUAAAAUUGAGUAAAACUAUUAUUUUAACAAAACAAAACAUAAGUUAAAUUAACGAAUUAAAUAUAGAAUUUGUUACGGAAAAACAUAAUAACAAUUUUAAGUAAGGUAAACAUCUAACUCGGUGAUUAGUAUAAUUUGAGAACCCAAUUAUAGUGAAAGUGCGAUAACCAUUUAGAAUAAUAAGGCACCUAGUGAGAUAACGAGUUCUAUCUUAAGAGGCACAUAGAAUAAAACGUGUUAAUAAUUCUUUUAUUUAAACCGUUAUGUUACCAACAACUUAACAGAAUAUAAUAUAGUGACUCCGCGCAAUUAAAUUCACAUUGACAAUCAAUUCACCAAGUUAUAACGGAGGCACAGAUUGGCAUGUUAAAGCAACACAACAAAUCACGUAGAAUGCAUGACUCACACAAGAAACCACAAUUGUUCCAACACCAAGAUAACAUCAAAUAACCAAACACAAUCAAAAUGCGGAUGAAUGAUUGAAGAAAGAACAAUGACCGUUCAAAUCAACAAGUUGUUACAACAUGGAAUGUACAAUAAAAAUCACAACUGAGGUACCGCCUCAUGUUCACAUUUUUCAAUUUUAAUCAUAAUCUUUCCUUAUAUCACCGCGUGAGUCUUACAUUUCGUUUUAAAAAUUAUUUUUCUCGAUUUAGCUACACGCAUUUUAGCCCACCUUAUCUCACUGUGUGGCUUCAAGUAGUUUCCCUACUAGCAACACGCGUAUCAAGCUCACCUUAUCUCACCUCAUGCGUAUCAACCCAUAGCCUUAUAUCACCGCAUGCGUAUCAAUAUCAACAAAAUCACCACUUGCACCACAAGUGCCCAUAUGUCACAACUUGCCACAAAGUCAACAACACCAAUAUUUCCAUAAUAAAUAACUCAUGGCUCAACCACAAUGUGUACAAGAAUUUUAACAAUAACAAAAUGAAUGGGAAUGCUCAACUAGGAAAGGUAUCUCAACAAUUAACAACUUCGCCUCAAUGUGAUAACGGCUAUUACAACUUCAAUACCAAUAACUCAACAAGAUGAUAUUCCACGAAAUAACAACUUCAAUUAAAAGUGAUUCAACAAUUAAGAGGUAACAAGACAAUAAGGAAGGCAAUAACUUCAACUAAAGCAUAUAAGAGCAAAAUAACAAGUAAGAGGUAGAACAAGUUCUAACAACGUCAAAUAGAGCAUAUAAGAGUAGAUUAACAACGAGAGAUAUAACAUGUUAUGACAAUUCAAUUAAAGGCAUGGAAAGAGUUUAGAUAAUCUAAACCGGUCAAAUACCACAUAUAGCCCAUGUACCCACUGUCACCUUGCGUACACGGCUUUCACAUAAAACAAAUAGCACAAUCAACCCAAAUUUUAAGGGGUAUAUUCCCCUACACAAAACUAGGCAAGAUACUUACCUCAACUAGCCAACUCAACCCUCCAAAAGAACUUAUCCCCUAAAAUUUGCCUCCACACGGCUCAAAUCUAACUAAAAAUGACUUAAUAACAUCAAACAAAGCAAGAGAAAUCAGGUAUAAUAAAUAAAGAUAUGAUAUUUAUAUAUUUUCCCAAAAAGUCAACAAAAGUUAAUGUCGGGCCCUCUUUGGAUUCCGAAUCCAAGCUUACCCGAGCGAAGCCCGAACCAAUACAAGCUCACACAAAAAGAAAACUAACUCAAUCGGUGUCCGAUAGCUCAACAAAUUCGCCAAAAUGUCGCUCUUGGAUGUUCAUAACCCAAGAGUCCAACCCACAUUAGUUGGGUCCCAUAUCUCUCGAAAUACUCCUCCAAAACUCACCAAAUUCGAGUAUGUUGUUCUCCUAAUAUAUGAGAACAAGACCCCGAAAAGAAUUGUGAAAUAAACCUCUAACUCAUUUACAAUUUUUAAAAUUUAGGACAUAACCCUAUAUCUUAAUUUAAAGAAUUAUGCGGGUUUUCAAUUAAAAUCACGGAUAAAAGCUUAAACUCAGGGAAUGAAUCAAAGGGAAAUACUUAGGUUAUGGUUUAGACCUUACCCCAUGGAAGAAACUUGAAGAACAUCUUUGAAUUCUCUCAAUCCCAAACUUUCAAGAUGAGAAAAACUCCAAUAACAUUAAUAGCCAAAAACGUCUAGUUGUUCUACCUCGUUUCUUAUGCCAAACGAUCCUGAAACACGCUUUUGAUGCAUCCAAUGGAUUUUUCGUAAAAUUCCAGUUAAGUUAGGCUUUUGAAUAACUCUAUUUGACCUUAUAAUGAAGGAGAUAUAUUGGUUUCAAUAUUUGGAAUAGUGCGGAUUUUUAAAUACGAAUUCAGUGGCAAUUUCAUAAUUAGUCUGAAAAAUCUCACAACCCAAUUCUUAGUAAAAUUAACAUAAAUUCCUCAUACGAUAUUAAAACUUGAUGAUUUCAGGUACUAUGGUUCCAAAAUUAUGAUACGGAUAUAAUGGUUUAGUCGAAACACGAAUCAAAGGCCAUUUGCUCAAUAGGGUAACUUUUAUGCUCAAAUCGACGUUGAAACCGAAAACUUUUAGCAUACAACCCAAACUUAUCCAAAACUCAUCGGAAUUUAACCAAACAUUGUGGAUAUGUCCAAAAUAAUCAUAAAAACUUAUUGGAAUAAUUAAAACAUGAUUCCGAGUCCGUUUACCCAAAAGUCAAACAUUGGUCAACUCCUCCAACUUAAAUUUUCUAACACGAGAAUCAUUCUUCCAAAUCAAUCCUAAACCGCUCGAAAACCAAAACCAACCAUACACGCAAGUCAUAAUACAUAAUAUGAAUCUACUCAAAGUCUCAAACCACCGAAUGGAACGCUAAAGCUCAAAACGACCAGUCGGGUCGUUACAUUCUCCCCCCAAUUAAACAUAUGUUCGUCCUCGAACGUGCCAAGAGUCAUUCCAAAGCCAUCAAAUCGCCAUAUAACCUCACCAUACACAUAACCAUGGGUGAUCCCACAUCACCCCAACUCAUAGAAGCCCGACAACACUUCCUAACAGAGGAUCAUUACUUUAACCUUAGUCCAUACACCUUAAAACCCAAAUCCCAAUAUCCGGAACGCAUUAUAUGACCCGAUUCUUGCAUGUAUACACAGUAUAACUAUGAACAAACUGUAUCAAUCCAUAACCAUAUCUCAAGACAUAAUCACAUAAUAUACCACAUAGCUCAAAUACUCAUAGUAUUAACUUUCGACCAUAAUAGUUGCUCGAUAACCAACCCGACACUGGUAACAAACCUCAUAUUAACUAAAACCUUGUGUUGACCCUUCGUACACUGCCAAUGAUGAAAGCAACAUACAAAAACUCAUAACCACCCAUCAGGUUAACAAGUGACACAAUUCUUGCAAACAUACCUUAAUCAAAUCUGAUGGCACUCAUUUCAGGACCAAUAACCUCACCUCAUCCAGUACAAGCUACUCGACUGACCUAUCACACAAAUCCUACUUAGAGCCACAUACCAUGCAAUCCGUGCACCGACGAACAAUAACUCAAAUAUACCCAAUGAUGGAAAGAGAAUGAAAAUGAAGAAACCAUCCCGCCAGCUCAACAGACACCACCACCAAGCGCAAUGCUAUCAAUCCACCACACAAGGGAAAACAUAACACAUGAAAUAAGCAUAAAGGAUAAAAUCCUAGCAUAACGUCGUUGCGGUGCAUGACCCAAUCCGAUAUCGGUCCACCUGGAAUACGUCAAGCCAUGAUACUCACAAUCAACAACCAUAAGCAUAUCAACAUCAAACACACGAAGUGCGUGACCAUAACUAUGGAGAUAUGGAUAUCACUAUAUACCAGAAACAGAAAGACCAUAACCUAGGCACAAUCAACCAUUCAACACCCCAAGAUCAAUCUCGCUCGAAUUUCGCUACAAAGCCCAAAUAUAACCGCAUAGGUGUGCAGAUAACCAACAGAUCGCAACCCAUCGCAGCAUAGGAGAGUAACAUAUGAGACAUAUCAGAAUAGAAUGUGAUCCACCCUAAACGAUAACAUACCCCUCUACAAUAAUUGUGCUGAGUAGAUAAAUCUAACACGAUUACACGCAUCCUUAUUAGACCUACUAGUAGUCUCCAAAUCAAUUCUGAUCCUUCUGAAGUAGGUAGAUAGCCUCCGAAAAUCCCACAAUAACAUAUAUAUAGUACAUACCAUCAGCUACCAACCUUUUAACAUACCUUCACCCGUUCAUAACCAUGGAACAAUCUGCCUCGAGAACCCCCUUAGUCUUUAAAUCCCUAAAAUACUAGAAUCUCCAUAUCCGAUCACAACUAUACUACUCAAAUAACUGAUACAUUCCUCACAUACGGUCAGCCCACGAGAAGUACUUCUAUAAUACUUUCGUUCCACAAAGCAAAAUCUGGACAUUAGUAGUCGAUCAACAAGGCGAUUACUGUAAUACUAGUCAGGCAUCCGCAAGUCGAAACACAGUACGCCUUCUGGAGUGCGCACCCUUCUUAGGCGGUAUCAAAUAAUGCUAGCAUUCUGCUAAACAUCUAAAAUCGUCUAUUAUGUCUAGAACUCGUGACCCCAUCCAAAACAAAAAUCAUAACACGCAACACAUUCCUUAUGCCGGUAGCAGACAUCUAGCUCAAGAUGUGGUCGAAACUAUCAAGAACUCUUCGAGGCCAGUCCACACAUCACCAAGUCAUCAAAACUGAACUUUCUCAACGCAACCAAGUGACCCAAUCCAUCAAACAUAAGAGUAUUGCCACAGAACGCUGGUGAAGCAUUACCACACCAAAAGACAAGUUACCUUUGUUGCUAUUUUGACCCAACACCACCAAGCUGACCCAUUUCUUCUAAUCCUCAUCGACUUGUAUUCUGGUCAACACUUUUCCUUAUCGAUACAUAAUGAUCCUAAGUCAAAGCUCGCUGCGAAAGACCCUAGCACGAACCACGUCGUCCGAAAACCCUUAAACUGUUGUAUUUCCCCCGGAGCACCCAAAGAUGAUGCAACCGAGAUACCCACUCUGAAGAGAGCUUCUGUGAAUCUGAAGAUAUUUCUCUAACCUCUCUGCUAUUGGAAUGUAGAUUUAGCAAUGAUACAGAUAUACCGCAAGUUCCAGCACCAUCCCAUGGAAAUCUCAGAUCUUAGUCAUGUACAAUUCUGGGGAACCCAUCAACACUACAUAUAUACCUCAGACCCAAGACUGAUAUGACACUUGCCCAUGCAAUCUGAUUGUCGAUAGUAGACUCCCUCACUUAGUGCGGAGUCAUAGGGCAAAACAUCCGAUGAUCCACAUUAUCAACCUUCAUAAGCUCGUACAACACCAAUCAGAUACACGAACCAGUUGCAUCCCACACUUGAACAACUAAAGAUCUACCAACACAUCUGUGUCCUUAGUAUGGACAAUACCUUGAGACAAUGACCGAGCAUCUAUGGCCUCCUCAUAGCCCAUCCAUAGCAUUACAAACCGUCGGAGCAUAGCUUAUACCGAGCGUGUAACAUCAUAUACGAGUGAAAGUAAAGGGAUAUAAGAUAUAUGCUUUAAGCUGAAUCAAUGUCGCACGAUAAGGAAUGAAAGGAGUGGUUCUUAAUAGUUCUGUAGCCUCUCGAAGAUAAGUACAGACCUCUCCAUGCCAAUCCGCAAGAUUCUACUAAACUUUCUUAUGACUCGUAGCACUUAUGAACUUAGAGCUCUGAUACCAACUUGUCAUGGUCCCAAUUCCCCACCUUAGAAUGUCGUGAUGACACCUAGUCUUUAAGACUAGGUAAGCCUAACACAUGCUGAUUUAAUAAUAAAAUUGAACUAUUUAAUCAUUUAUUAUAACUAUUAAAUGGCAUACAUAGCCACAAGCAGCCAAAAGUUAUACACUUCUCAAAACCGAUAGUACGGAGUCAUAAGCACUACUAAAACACACUAGAAUUUCUAAACACAAUACUAUUUUGAAUUGCAAUUUAACAGUAGCAUAAUGAAGUAAGAUGGUGACUCUGAGGCCUGCGAACGUCAAGCAGGUAUACCUUAAAGUCUCCCAUUACGCAGGAGCAACUCUCAACAACACAAUCAGAAUACUUGGAUCUGCACAAAAAUGUGCAGAAGCGUAGCAUGAGUACACCACAACGGUACCCAGUAAGUAUCAAGCCUAACCUCGGUAGAGUAGUGACGAGGACAGGUCAAGAUACCUACUAGACACAGAAACUUGUUCAAGAUAUACAUAAGCUAAUAAUAGAAACAAUAUCAAUGUAAGACCAACGGCGAAAAACUUAUUGAUAUACAACCAACAAUGAAGUAAUAGAAACAUAAACGGUAGCAAGUAGUAAAUGAGUAAUAAAGAAACAAUAUAAUCAGAACACCGAUGAGAUGUAAAAGAACUCAAAUAAGGAAAAACGGAUGACAAAUCAAAUAAUCAAAUCGCUCCCAACGCAUGGAAUUACAACAAGAAUUGCCCCGAGGCAGCACACCUCAUAAACCACAAGUCAUGUACCACAAUUUCCAAAUCUUACACAUAUGGCACCUCGUGCCCACAAUAACAAUCACCUUCGCACGGCAAAGCCCACGUGCUACCAUGUAGUUUGUAACCGCGAUAAAUAUUAAUUUAGAUGAACGAAAGAUAUAUUUAAACAUCAUAAAACAUAGUAACAAUCUUGAAUAUAGUAAGGUGUCAAAUGAAAUAAUGAGUAUAUUUUAGAAAUCUAAUAAAGUAAAAUAAUAUACAAUUUGUACGAAACAGAGUAUAAGAUGGAUUUAGUUUAGAAAUCAAUAAAAUUGAGUAAAAGUAUCAUUUUUAAACAAAACAAAAAAUAAGUUAAAUUAACGAAUUAACUAUAGAAUUUGUUAAGGAAAUCAUGAUAACAAUUUUAAGUAAGGUAAACAUCUAACAGGGUGAUGAGUAUAAUUUGAGAACCCAAUUAUAGUGAAAGUGUGAUAACCAUUUUGAAUAAUAAGGCACCGAGUGAGAUAACGAGUUCUAUCUUAAGAGGCACAUAGAAUAAAGCAUGUUAAUAAUUCUUUUAUUUAAACCAUAUGUUACCAACAACUCCACAAAAUNNNNNNNNNNNNNNNNNNNNNNNNNGAGUUCUAUCUUAAGAGGCACAUAGAAUAAAGCAUGUUAAUAAUUCUUUUAUUUAAACCAUUAUGUUACCAACAACUCCACAAAAUAUGAUAUAGUGACUCCACGCAAUUCACAUUGACAAUCAAUUAACCAAGUUAUAAUGGAGGCAUAGAUUGGCAUGUUAAAGCAACACAACAAAUCACAUAGAAUACAUGACUCACACAAGAAAAUCAUAGUCGUUCCAACACCAAGAUAAUAACGAAUAACCAAACACAAUCGAAAUGCGGAUGAAUGGUUGAAGGAAGAACAAUGACCGUUCAAAUCAACAAGUUGUUACAACAUUGAAUUACAAUAAAAAUCACAAUCGAGGUACCACCUCGUGUUCACAUUUCAAAAUUUCAAUCAUAAUCUUUCCUUAUAUCACCGCGUGAGCCUUACAUUUAGUUUUGAAAAUCAUUUUUCCCGAAAUAGCUACACGCGUUUUAGCCCACCUUAUCUCACUGUGUGGCUUCAAGUAGUUCCCCUACUAGCAACACGCGUAUCAAGCCCACCUUAUAUCACCUCAUGCGUAUCAACCCCUAGCCUUAUAUCACCACAUGCGUAUCAAUAUCACAACACAAUCACAACUUGCACCACAAGUGCCCAUAUGCCAUAACUUGUCACAAAGUCAACAACACCAAUAUUUUCACAAUAAAUAGCUCAUGGCUCAACCACAAUGUGUACAAGAAUUUCAACAAUAACAAAAUGAAUGGGAAUGCUCAACAAGGAAAGGUAUCUCAACAAUUAACAACUUCGCCUCAAUGUGAUAACGACUAUUACAACUUCAACACAAAUAACUCAACAAGAUGAUAUUCCACGAAAUAACAACUCAAAUUAAAAGUGAUUCAACAAUAAAGAGGUAACAAGAUAAUAAGGAAGGAAAUAACUUCAACUAAAGCAUAUAAGAUCAAAAUAACAAGUAAGAGGUAGAACAAGUGCUAACAACGUCAAAUAGAGCAUGUAAGAGUAGAUUAACAAUGAGAGUAACAUGUUAUGACAAUUCAAUUAAAGGCAUGGAAAGAGUGUAGAUAAUCUAAACCGGUAAAAUACCAUAUAUAGCACGUGUACCCUACUCGUCACCUUGCAUACAUGGAUUUCACAUAAUAUGAAUAGCACAAUCAACCCAAAUCCCAAGGGGUAGUUUCCCCCACACAAAAUUAGGCAAGAUACUUACCUCAACUAGGCCAACUCAGCCCUUCGAAAUAACUUUUCCCCUAAAAUUUGUCUUCACACGGCUCAAAUCUAACAAAAAUGACUUAAUAACAUCAAACAAUGUAAGAGAAACUAAUUACAAUAAAUAAAGCUAUGAUCUUUAUAUUUUUACCCAAAAAGUCAAGAAAAGUCAAUGUUGGGCCCACGUUAGAUUCCGAAUCAAAACUGACUCAAUCGGAGUCUGAUAGCUUAACCAAUUCGCAAAAAUAUCGCUUUUGGGUGUUCAUAACCCAAGAGUCCAACCCACAUUAGUUGGGUCCCAUAUCUCCCGAAAUACUCCUCCAAAACUCGACAAAUUCGAGUAUGUUGUUCUCCUAAUAUAGGAGAACAAGACCCCAAAAGGAAUCGGGAAAUAAACAUCUCUAACUCAUUUUUAAUUUUUAAAAUUUAGGACAUAACCCUAGGUCUUGAUUUAAAGAAUUAAGUGGGUUUUCAAUUAAAAUCAUGGAUUAAAGCUUAAACCCAGAGAAUAAUUCAAAGAAAAAUACUUAGGUUAUGGUUUAGACCUUAUCCCAUGAUAGAAACUUGAAUAACACCCUUGAAUUCUCCUAAUCCCAAACUUUCAAGAUGAGAAAAACUCCAACAACAUUAAUAGCCAAAAAUGCCGAGCUAUUUUACCUCGUUUCUUGCGCCAAAUGAUCUCGAAACACGCUUUUGAUGCCUCCAAUGGAUUUUUCGUGAAAUUAUAGUUAAGUUGGGCUUUUGAAUCACUCCAUUUGACCUUAUAAUGAAGGAGAUAUGUUGGUUUUCAAUAUUUGGAAUAGUGCUGAUUUUUAAAUACGAAUUCAGUGGCAAUUUCGUAAUUAGCCUAAAAAAAUCUGGCAACCCAAUUCUUAGUAAAAUGACCAUAAAUUCCUCAUACAAUGUCGAAACUUGAUGAUUUCAGUUUUUAUGAUUCCAAAAUUACGAUAUGGAUAUAAUGGUUUAGUCGAAACACGAAUCAAAGGCCGUUUGCUCAAUAUGGUAACCUUUAUACUCAAAUAGACGUCGAAACCGAAAACAAUCAUCAUACAACCCAAACUUAUCCAAAAUUCAUCAGAAUUUAACCAAACUUUGUGGAUAUGUCUAAAAUUAUCAUACAAACUUAUUGGAAUAAUUAAAACCCGAUUUUCGUAUCCGUUUACCAAAAAGUCAAACAUUGGUCAACACUUCCAACUUAAAAUAAAACGAGAAUCAUUCUUCCAAAACAAUCCCGAACUGCUCGAAAACCGAACCAACCAUACAUACAAGUCAUAAUAUAUAAUAUGAAUCUACUUAAAGUCUCAAACCACCGAAUGAAACGCUAAAGAUCAAAAUGACCGAUUGGGUCGUUACAGACGAGGUCAGGUCAAGAUACCUAUUGGACAAAAGAAACCUGAACAUAAUAUAAUAUAAUCUAAUAACUGAAGAGAAAAACAAUUAAAGGACAAUAAAGCAAUUUAUCAAUAUAGGACUAACAACGGAAAUAAAGCAAAUAAAGAGUACAUGUGAUAAGACAACAAAUAACCAAUUACAAUCAAAACACUAAUGGGACGAAAUAAGGGAACAAGAACAACAAUUGUUCAAAUCAUCCAGCCUUUCCAAUAUAGAAUGCACAACAAGAAUCAUACCGAGGUACCACGCCUCAUAUUCACAUUUCAUAAGUCACAAUCACAAUCUUCCUUAUAUCGCCUCGUGAGCCUUACAUUUAUUUUUAAAAUAUUUUUUUCUGAAAUAGCUACAUGCGCUUUAGCUCCCUUAUCUCACCACGUGGCUUUAAGUAAUUUUUUACUAGCAACACACGCAUAAACCCACUUUAUCUCGCCGAAUGCACAUCAACCCCUACCCUUAUACCGUCGCAUGCGUGAUAAGUAGGGAUUUUAGCUUAUUAAUUGCACUCUUUUACUUGUGUUUUGGGCCAAAAAUGCAUGAAGGUAUACUUGAAAACUAACUUAAGAUGCUAGCUUGCAGGGAUUGUUCAAAAUGAGCCAAAGGAGCCAUAAUCAACUCAUAAAGGAGUCAAAACUUGAACAAAAACCAAGACUGGGCCAAGAGGUGUGGAACGCAGACCGCGACAAAAAAGUGCGGCCGCAAAAGUAUCAACGCGGACGCGGAUAUUAUUUCGAGGUCCGCGAUAUGAAGAAUCAGAGAGAUGGUUUUUUGGGCAAAAACAUGAACGCGGACCGCGACAAGAAGAUGCGGCCGCGAAAGUACCAGCACGGUCGCGAUGGGAAUUCUGCGGACCGUGGUUGCUAAGGUUUAGAGAGUGCAUAAUUCAAGCAAAAAUGAGAAGGGAGGUCCGCGUCAAAGUUACGCAGCUGCGGAAGUCUCUCAUGCGGACGCGGUGGAAAUUAUGCGGUCCGCGAAACAAGGUUCAACCCAGAUCCAGAUGUGAAGAAAUGCGGACCGCGAUCAGAAUUACGCGGUCGCGAAAGCAAGUGUGCAGUCGUAGUCAGAAUUACGCGGCCGCGAAACUUCCGCAAGGAUAUUUUUGUCCGAAAAUUUUAGCUUAUUAUAAAUAGAUCUUUUUGUCAAAUUUAGGUUAUGUUAUGUUUUUGCUGAGUACGUGAGACGGUUAGGUUUUCCCUUUUAUGCAAUUUUAUACAAGAUUUACCUUAUAACAUUAGAUUUUCAUCUUUUANNNNNNNNNNNNNNNNNNNNNNNNNNNNNNNNNNNNNNNNNNNNNNNNNNNNNNNNNNNNNNNNNNNNNNNNNNNNNNNNNNNNNNNNNNNNNNNNNNNNNNNNNNNNNNNNNNNNNNNNNNNNNNNNNNNNNNNNNNNNNNNNNNNNNAAACACUGAUUCAUGCCUUUGUGACUUAGGCUCUUCUUGAGAAAGAGGGACUAAGUCUAGGAAAACUAGGCUAACAAGGAAUUGGGGUGAACUCAAGAAAUUGAUAGCCCCAAUAAAAGGGUUAAACCUAGAGAUAGUAAUACCCGACUUGAGCUAAUAUCACUUGUAUUGCAUGAAUACCUAUUUGGACAUGAGAAAGCCAAAUUGGGCAAAAUCACUCAAACUUCCGAGAGGUAUAGAGUGAGUACUUGGGUAUGAUAGCUAUAUUACGACCCCAAUCAAAUCAAACUCGCCUAGAUUCUUGAUACCCGUUAGAUAUCCACCUAGGCGGAAGUCACUACCCAAGUCCUUUUAAACACUUGAAAUCUAUCAUCAAAAAUAUUGUACUUAGCUCUAAUCUUAGCAUACAAUAGAAAUAGAAAUAGAAGUAGAAUCAACACCAUCAUGUUUGGAAAUGCAGUUAGGAACAACACACACAUCUAGAUUUAGAUAAAUACCUAAUUCCAAAUCAAUUAACUCCAUGUGGAAAUCGAUCCUGACCUUGUUGGGUAAAACUGCAUCGACCAUCCUCGCUACUCAAUAGUGGUGUAGGUUUGGCACCGAUCAAUUUUUGGCGUCGUUGCCGGGGUUGUGUAACCUAUUUUGGAUAGUUCAUGGACUUCGCCGGUACAAUGUGUCCCGGAGAAGGGGGGUAUGACUGUGAUCACAAAUGAGAAAAAUGAGUUGAUCCCCACCAGAACUGUUACCAGUUGGAGGGUAUGCAUGGAUGAUAGAAAGCUUAACAAAGUGACCCGCAAAGACCAUUUUUCAUUGCCAUUUCUUGACCAAAUGUUGGAUAGACUUGCCGGGCGUGCUUAUUAUUGCUUUUUGGAUGGGUACUCCGGGUAUAACCAGAUUCUCAUUGCACCUGAAGACCAAGAGAAAACCACUUUCACAUGUCCGUAUGGAACAUUUGCAUUCUCACGGAUGCUGUUUGGUUUGUGUAAUACGCCGGCUACCUUUCAGCGGUGUAUGAUGGCAAUAUUUACAGAUAUGGUGUAGGACUUCCUCGAAGUGUCCAUGGAUGAUUUCAGUAUUUUGGGGGAUUCAUUUGAAGAAUGCUUGGAUAAUCUUGACAAAGUGUUGGCCCGAUGUGAAGAGACCAACUUAGUGCUUAAUUGGGAAAAGUGCCACUUUAUGGUCGAGGAGGGCAUUGUUCUCGGCCAUAAGAUCUCAAAGAACGGUAUUGAAGUGGACAGAGAAAAAAUUAAAGUGAUUUCAAAACUCCCUCCUCCUACUUCCGUCAAGGAAGUGAGGAGCUUUCUUGGUCACGCGGGGUUUUACCGAAGGUUCAUCAAGGAUUUCUCAAAAGUGGUGAACCCCUUGUGCAAGUUGUUGGAAAAAGAUGCAAAGUUUGUGUUCAAUNNNNNNNNNNNNNNNNNNNNNNNNNNNNNNNNNNNNNNNNNNNNNNNNNNNNNNNNNNNNNNNNNNNNNNNNNNNNNNNNNNNNNNNNNNNNNNNNNNNNNNNNNNNNNNNNNNNNNNNNNNNNNNNNNNNNNNNNNNNNNNNNNNNNNNNNNNNNNNNNNNNNNNNNNNNNNNNNNNNNNNNNNNNNNNNNNNNNNNNNNNNNNNNNNNNNNNNNNNNNNNNNNNNNNNNNNNNNNNNNNNNNNNNNNNNNNNNNNNNNNNNNNNNNNNNNNNNNNNNNNNNNNNNNNNNNNNNNNNNNNNNNNNNNNNNNNNNNNNNNNNNNNNNNNNNNNNNNNNNNNNNNNNNNNNNNNNNNNNNNNNNNNNNNNNNNNNNNNNNNNNNNNNNNNNNNNNNNNNNNNNNNNNNNNNNNNNNNNNNNNNNNNNNNNNNNNNNNNNNNNNNNNNNNNNNNNNNNNNNNNNNNNNNNNNNNNNNNNNNNNNNNNNNNNNNNNNNNNNNNNNNNNNNNNNNNNNNNNNNNNNNNNNNNNNNNNNNNNNNNNNNNNNNNNNNNNNNNNNNNNNNNNNNNNNNNNNNNNNNNNNNNNNNNNNNNNNNNNNNNNNNNNNNNNNNNNNNNNNNNNNNNNNNNNNNNNNNNNNNNNNNNNNNNNNNNNNNNNNNNNNNNNNNNNNNNNNNNNNNNNNNNNNNNNNNNNNNNNNNNNNNNNNNNNNNNNNNNNNNNNNNNNNNNNNNNNNNNNNNNNNNNNNNNNNNNNNNNNNNNNNNNNNNNNNNNNNNNNNNNNNNNNNNNNNNNNNNNNNNNNNNNNNNNNNNNNNNNNNNNNNNNNNNNNNNNNNNNNNNNNNNNNNNNNNNNNNNNNNNNNNNNNNNNNNNNNNNNNNNNNNNNNNNNNNNNNNNNNNNNNNNNNNNNNNNNNNNNNNNNNNNNNNNNNNNNNNNNNNNNNNNNNNNNNNNNNNNNNNNNNNNNNNNNNNNNNNNNNNCGACACUUUACUUUCUAAGUAUGGUGUCAACCAUAAGGUGUCAACCCCUUAUCACCCACAGGCUAGUGGACAAGUUGAGGUCUCUAAUAGGGAGAUCAAGAGCAUAUUAUCCAAGACUGUCAAUGCAAAUCGGAUUAAUUGGUCAAGGAAACUUGACGAUGCUUUAUGGGCCUAUCGUACAGCUUACCAGACUCCAAUUGGUAUGUCUCCAUACCGGUUGGUAUUUGGGAAAGCAUGCCAUAUUCUGGUUGAAUUAUAGCACAAGGCCUAUGCGGGCGCUGAAGAAGUUGAACCUUGAAUGGGAUGUAGCUGCCAAUCUCCGAGUAGAGCAAUUAAAUGAACUUGAUGAGUUCCGGUCCCAUGCUUAUUCCAGCUCAUCCUUGUAUAAGGAUAAGAUGAAGUACUUACAUGACAAAUAUAUCUGGAACAAAUAAUUCAAGGAGGGUGACUUGGCUCUUCUAUUCAACUCUCGGUUACAUAUGUUUUCGGGAAAGCUCAAGUCAAAGUGGAGUGGCCCUUUUGAAGUGGUGCAUGUAACUCCGUUUGGUGCUCUCGAUUUGAAAAACAAAAAUGGUGAAAUCUUUAGAGUCAAUGGGCACUGAGUAAAGCAUUACCUUGGCAAGAUUAAUUAUAGCCACGUGGUGGCCUUGAUCCAUUUCAAAUGAUAAUGGUAACAUGCGUCGUGCCGCGACGUUAAAUCAGGCGCUUCUUGGGAGGCAACCCAUGUGUUUUGUUUUUCUUUCUUUUUCUUUUGAUUUUCUUCUUAGAAUAGGCAUUGUUUUGGACUAACUGGUUGUGAAGUGUAUGUAGGAACUGGUUGUGCAGUGCAGGAUUUUGACAGGGAAAGAUUUGGCUAAGUGUUGGAAGUUCGCGGCAGCACAUUUUUGUCCGCGGAUGCAUACUUGAAAAGAGCAAAAUGUCAACUCUCUGAAGUUGGACUGUUAAAAAAUAUCCUUCAGAGAUCGCGGCCGCAUUCCAAUUUUCGCGGACCGUGUUGAAUUUUGCGGUCGCGGCCAAUAUUCCGUGGACUGCACCCAUGUGCUUGAAGUUGGUCUACAUAAGGUAACAUAGCACGGACCGCGAUAGAAUUUCGCGGCCGCGCUCAGGUAAGGCGGUGGGUUUCACAGUUGAUUAGUAUAAAUAAGGGUUCCUUAAAUAUUUUACACUUUUCGAACCCUAACGUUUCACCGCACAAAAAGCAUUGUUCAUCUCAUCCUGCUCUCAAUUUUCAUCUCAUUCACAUUAAGAGUUCAUUUCCUACUACAAUUUUACAACUGGUAUGUUCAAUUCCAUGAUGUGAUUUUAUCUUUUUCUUUUCUUUUCUCUUUGUUUUAAUUUUUCUUUUUAGUUAGGGUUAGAUGCAUCCCAUGAUCUCAAAUUAAUGCUUAAUUGAUACUUAAAUACAUGUGGGUAGUGAUUAUAUGCCUAAUGGGGGAUGGGGUUAGUAACUUUGCAUGGUUAAUUGAACUAAUUUUUGCACACUUAGUGAAAACCCUAGUUUUCAGUGUUUUUAGUACCGAUCUUAUUUGAAUUUCGUGGCCGCGGUCCAUUUUACGCGGUCCGCGAUAGGGUAGGCGGCCGCGUUCAUUUUUUCGCGGUCCGCGCUACCCCAGCUUUUUGUUACUAAGUGAUUGCUAAGAGUUCGCGGCCGCGGUCACUUUUACGCGGCCCGCGGUUAGUCCUUCACGGUUGCGUUCAAGUUUUUGCGGUCCGCGCUUGUGAACUUCAAAGAGUCUGUUAAUUGCUUUCGCGGCCACGUUCAUUUUUUCGCGGUUCGCAAUUGGUCACUCGCGGCCGCGUCUAAUUUUUUGCGGUCCGCGUGUGUCCAAGAUCAGAGAGUCAGUAGUCUGAACCUGACCUUUUCGCAGCCGCGUUCACUUUUUCGCGGUCCGCGAUGAGCAUUCCGCGACCGCGUCUACUUUUUCGCGGUCCGCGAUGCCCUGUUUUGAGAAGCAUUGUUGUUCAUUUCAUCUGUACUGCUUUAAGGCGUGAUUAAACCCCAAUUCUAAUUAUCUUUCACUAAUUAUGUGUUGCCGAAAAUGGUGCGAUCUCGUGGAGGAGCAGACAAAUCAAAAGGGAGGGCAGAAUCCUCCCGAGGCCGGGGAAAAGGAAAGUAGGCUUUGCCCUUAGCAGCUCAAAGAAUCAUAAGCAAAAAGCAAACCCUCACUAGACCUCCUGCCGAAUCAACAGACACAAGUGAAUAUCUCCCAUCCCGAUAGGUUUCUGAGGGGGACUCUACACAACCUCAACAAGAGGCCCAAUUACAACCCUACCGCCUAAUCAAUGAAGCUACCUCCUCUUCUGGGUCGUCUGAUGGCUCAGAGGGAGGUAGUGAGGCAUCGGAGCCAUCUCCCUCACCUAAUGCAACUCUGGCCUCAACAGCUGCUCCUAUCAAUGUAGAUGAGGAUGACGAGGUCCCGGAUGACAGGAGAGGGGGUGAUACUAAUGUGGGUGGUCUUGCUAGAUCAAGGAAGCCCGAGGUGUGUGCGGAUAGAUUCGUGAGCGAGAAAGCAUACCUCAAAUUUCGAAAAUGGUGGCCCCAAAGGUCGCUCACCCUUAAGCGACAGUUUAUAGAAAGAGAUCUCCUUCCUCGUAAUCCAAAUGUCAAGAGACAGUUUGAGGAGAGAAAAGGGUGGAAGUACUUCACCAGCAAGGUUCCGGAUGCCAAUGAGUACCUUGUCAAGGACUUCUAUGCAAAUGUUGCCCACAUCAAAAAGGGCACCACUGUGACAAAGGUACGGAACUUGAAGAUACGGUUUGAUGGCGACACCUUGAACAAAUAUGCCAGUUUUGAGGAUGUGGAAGCUGUACAGUAUUUGGAGAAGAUGGCCAUAGAUGAAGCAGCCCGGCCUUGGCUAGCAGAAGUAAUAGCCAUUCCAGGGACAACACCAGCCUGGCUCGCAGCUGGAGUCCCAAUCGCCAGAAACACCCUCAGCUUUGAAGCCAAAGGGUGGUGCACAUUUGUAUGCAGUCGGCUUGAUCCUAGCCAGCAUGAUAGUGUCAUCCCACUCUCCCGGGCAAUCCUAAUAGCUUCCAUCAUGGCGGGGUAUCCAAUCAAUGUGGGGAACCUCAUGUCCCACCACAUCUCCAAAGCAACCUGAAAAGAAGAAAGGUCCUACCCCUACCCCAACUUCAUCACUAUGUAUCUCGAGGACCAACGGGUAGAGGGGAGACACUAUGACACGAAGGUGAAGCUGAAUAAACCUUUCUCCUGGUAUAGCCUCCAAGAACCGGACAACCCUAAAGUAAAGGGUAAAGCCACUACCUCCACUGGCCAGUCUGAAGAGCCAAGGGUAGUGGCCACCGGGUCAGAGCCUUUCCCAGCAGAAGGACCUUCAGCUGCCAUGCCUCCUCCUUCAUCCGGGCCAUACAUCACUGUGCCACUAUUUGUGUCCUCAUCUUCUACUAACCCCCAGACUGCACUGCGGGUUUCUCAGACCUUAUCCAGCAUCAACAACUGGAUCCAGGAAGCUACAUCAAAGAUGUCUGUCUUAUCCAGUGCAUUAGCAGCACAAUCAGCCCCAGCACAGCUUCAGGUACCUCCAUCAGUGGAGGAUUCAUUGAAGGAGAUUCUGGACAACCAGAAGAAGCUCUUGGACAAUCAAAAGAAGAUCCUGGAGACUUUGGAUACUCAUUACAAGGUGAUCAAGGAUCUAGGCAAGCAGGUGAAGAAAAUAAGAAAGACUCAAGCCUCAAAGGAGUCAGUGGAGAAGCUGAAGAGGGAGGUAGAGAAGUUCACUUCUGCUGGAGAUAUCCCACUUGACUUGCUUAUGGAGGAGACUACCCCAACAGCACAGGUAGUAGAGCAUGAGACAGAUAGAGCUCCAGUUAGAGGACCCGGAGGGAGCUGAUGAUCCUAUGCAGUCCGAGGACCCCACUCAUGUGCCUGACCCCAUGCAGACAGAGACCACAUAGGGAGUUUUCUUUACUCUCUAACCCUUCCCUGAUCUUAUUUUGGUAUUAGCAUUGAGGACAAUGCUAUCUUUUAUUUGGGGGGUGGUCCAUUUUGAUUUGGUUAUGAUUUGAUGACAUUGGUAUGUAAUAACUAUGAUACUAUUUUUCUUUACCUUUAUUUAUCGUUAUUUUCACUUUCAUUAUUUUCCACUUUUGGUAUGUAUAUAACUUUACCAUUCGAUGUAUUUAUUCAUUUCCAUUUUGUAUAUAUUCAUUUCACUCCAUUAUUGUACAUAUUCAUUUUACUUUUUGUAGUUUACUUCAUAACUUCUUUCGUAUUUUACCUUAAUAGCUUAGCUUCUUAUUUUCUUUAGUAGUUUAUUUUUGAGUUUUUAGCUUCUUUUACAUUCUGCGUGAUCAAUAAGCAUUUAGUUUUCUUAAUGUCAGGGUUCUUUCCAAAGGUGGAUGUUACGUGAACCGGGUGGCUCUUCCCAACGAUGGAUGGCGUGACAACCUUCUUAAGGGAUUGAUUUCGUUUUCUUUUUGCUUUGAUAUAUAGUAGUAAUAAAUAAAAGUGUCUCAAGCAGGCUUCACUUGGUACUAAAAUAUUUACCUUCGACCUCAUAGUUAGAGACAAGUUGAUUGACAAAGAAUAGCUCUAGUUGUGACCUUUAGACUCUUGAUUUGACUAAAACAACGAGUGGUUUCUUUGAGCAAUUUGUGAUCUUCAAUCUUAGCUAGGGUUGUUGUGGGCCCUCGACUCUGUUCUCUUUAACAAUCCAGUAGCUUGAGAGGUGAGGUAUUGAAUUGCAAGUCCAAAUCCCGUGCCAAUAAGUCUAGAACUUGCCCUGAAUGUUUGUCUACGCAAAAUUCUAAGUGUAACUCGAAUUGAGAAGUGAUUGUAGGCUCUCCUUGGUCUAAUUUGAACUUUGAAAGCUUCUGUAGCCUACCAUUAUGAUAUCCCUAGUCAACUCCUUUGAGCCUAAGCCUUUUUCAUUCAAUAGCCACAUUACAAGCCUUUAUCUAUAAUGAUCCUCUCUUGGCACCCAAUCUUUCCUUAGCAUUCAUGAUGAACAAUUGGCAAAAGCAUAAGUUUGGGGGAGAGACGAGAAAAUUGAAAGUGAUAAAAGGCUUUUAAAAAAAAGAAUUGAUGAAAAGGAAAGGCAAUGAAAAGGAAGAAAAGCCAAAAAUAAAUAUGUCAUAAAGAAAGAGAAGGUUGAAGGGAUUCAAAGAACAUAAUGAUGAAAGGCAAGGAAUGAUAAGAAAAUGAGAAAAAUGAUUGUCAUGAGUAAGAAAGAGUGACGGUUUGUCUCUCUAGUUCCCCUAAGGAAGAAUAAAAAUGACUCAAAGAGUCAAGAAAGUAUGAGCCGAAAUGAGAAAAUGGAGUGCUUAAGGAAAGAUGAAACCAUCACAGCUCGUUAUGUCCUACCUUGAUCCAAAAGCAUUCAUUACAUCCCUGCUAAAGCCCUAUAUGAUUUCAAGUUGAGUGAGCUUACAUUAGUGGUGAUUUACAUAAGGGGCAAGCUUAUGGUACUUAGAGUCGGACUUGUGGCAUUCUUUUGAGAGUGAUGAGCGCACUUCUUCACAAUCCUUAUUUUGAGUGUUACAUUCUAAAAAGUGAGAUUUGCUCAUGGAGAGUAGAGGAGGAGGAGUUUGGAAUCCACAAUGACCUACGUGAGAGAGCGAGCUUCGUUGAUGAAUUAUGUCAACUCUUGAUGCUCUAGUGUCACAUUAGAACUAUGGAACUUAAAAGGUCAUAACAUGACGUUGUUGAUAAUUCAUUUGUAUUGAGGGUAAUUGUUAGUCCCAAUUGAUGCUUGAUGAAGUCACCUUAGGCCAGCUGAAAUAUCCUUUUCUUUUUCUUGUGGAGGUGGGAAUUACCUUAUUUGCUUGAGGACAAGCAAAAGCUUAAGUUUGGGGGAGUUGAUAAGUAGGGAUUUUAGCCUAUUAAUUGCUCUCUUUUACUUGUGUUUUGGGCCAAAAAUGCGUGAAGGUAUUCCCGAAAACUAACUUAAUAUGCUUGCUUGCAGGGAUUGUUCAAAAUGAGCCAAAGGAGCCAUAAUCAACUCAUAAAGGAAUCAAAACUUGAAAAAAAACAAGACUGGACCAAGAGGUGUGGAACGCGGACCACGACAAAAAAGUGCAGCUGCAAAAGUAUCAACGCGGACGCGGCCAUUAUUUCGAGGUCCGCGAUAUGAAGAAUCAGAGAGAUGGUUUUUUGGGCACAAACAUGAACGCGGACCACGACAAGAAGAUGCGGCCGCGAAAGUACCAGCACGGCCGCGAUGGGAAUUCCGCGGACCGUGGUUGCUAAUGUUCAGAGAGUGCAUAAUUCAAGAAAAAGUGAGAAGGGCGGUCCGCGUCAAAGUUACGCGGUCGCAGAAGUCUCUCACGCAGACGCAGUGGAAAUAAACGGUCCGCGAAACAAAGUUCAACCCAGGUCUAGAUGUGAAGAAACACAGACUGCGAUCAGAAUUACAUGGCCGCGAAAGCAAGUGUGCGACCGCGGUCAGAAUUACGCGGCCACGAAACUUUUGCAGGAGUAUUUUUGUCCGAAAAUUUCAGCUUAAUAUAAAUAGAUCUUUUUGUCAAUUUUAGGUUAUGUUAUGCUUUUGCUGAGUAGGUGAGAUGGCUAGGUUUUCCUUUUUGGGUAAUUUUGUACAAGAUUUACCUUAUAACAUUAGAUUUUCAUCUUUUAAUUUAGUAUUAUGGAUUAUAUCUUCUCUUUAUCAUUGAUUUCUGCUAUUAUUAUGAGUAGCUAGACCCAUAGCUAGGGUUGUGAUCCGACCCUAGUGUGGGUAUUUAAUGGGUCUUAAAUUUUAGGGUUUGAUUGUUUAUGGGUUAGUGAUAUUUAGCCUAGUUCAUGCUAGAAUUGUAGAAUUAGUGGUUGCAAACACUGAUUCAUGCCUUUGUGACUUAGGCUCUUCUUGAGAAAGAGGGACUAAGUCUAGGAAAACUAGGCUAACAAGGAAUUGGGUGAACUCAAGAAAUUGAUAGCUCCAAUAAAAGGGUUAAACCUAGAGAUAGUAAUACCCGACUUGAGCUAAUAUCACUUGUAUAGCAUGAAUACCCAUUUGGACUUGAGAAAGCCAAAUUGGGAAAAAUCACUCAAACUACCGAGAGGUAUAGAGUGAGUACUUGGGUGUGAUAGCUAUAUUACGACCCCAAUCAAAUCAAACUCGCCCUAGAUUCUUGAUACCCAUUAGAUAUCCACCUAGGCGGAAGUCACUACCCUAGUCCUUUUAAACACUUGAAAGCUAUCAUAAAAAAUAUUGUACUUAGCUUUAAUCUUAGCAUACAAUAGAAAUAGAAAUGGAAGUAAAAUCAACAGCAUCAUGUUUGGAAGUGCAAUUAGGAACAACACACACAUUUAGAUUUAGAUAAAUACCUAAUUCCAAAUCAAUUAACUCCUUGUGAAAAUCGAUCCCGACCUUGUUGGGUAAAACUGCAUCGACCAUCCUCGCUACUCAAUAGUGGUGUAGGUUUGGCACCGAUCAAUGCGCAUCAAUAUCACAACACAGUAAUCAACUCGCACCACGCGUGCCCAUAUGCCUCAACAAUUCCAAAAUUAACAACAUCAAUAUCACCACAAUAUAUAACCCAAGGCUCAAUAACAAAGUGUAAAAGAAUCUCAAUAGCAAAUAAAAGGGAUGAGAAACAACUCAACAAGGAAAAAUAUCUCAUGAAACAACAACUUCCAAUUCAAGUAUAUGACAUAAGCUUGACAAUGAAAGAGAUAGCAUGAAAUAGUGACUAAGUCUAAAUGCAUGAGAAUAACUCAACCAUAGAAGAAAUGGCAUGUAACAGCUACUACAAGUAAAUGCAUAUAAGAGUAACUUGACGAUAGAAACUAGAGCAUGUAAUGACAAUUUCAAUUAAGGAGCAUAAAAUAAUCUGAAUAGUACAAAUAACCCAAAUCCUAAGGGGUAGUUUUUCCCACACAGAGUUAGACAAGAUACUUACCUCAAACAAGCUAGAUCAAUCCACUAAUAAGCCCUUCCCGCGCAAAUUCAACUCCGGACGGAUCGAAUAUAGCCAAAAAUAAUUUAAUAUCAUAAAUAAAAACCAUAGGAAGCAAUUUCGGAUAAUACAGAUUUGAUCUUUAAUGAAAGUCAAAAAGUCAACAUUGGGCCCGCACCUCGGAACUUGACCAAACCCACAAAUUCCGAACAACCAUUCUAAUACGAAUCCAACAAUACCAAAAUCAUCCAAUCCCGACCUCAAAUCGACCUUCAAAUCCUCAUUUUAUACUUUAGGAAAGCUUUUACUAAAAUCCUCAAUUUCUCUAAUUCAAAUCACUAAUUAAAUGAUAAAAACAAAGAUGGAAUCAUGUAUAAUGGACAAAUCCGCGUCAAAAAUACUUACCCUGAUCCAAAUCGUGAAAAUCCUCUCCAAAAUCGCCCAAAACCUAGCUAUCUAACUCAAAUUAUGGUAAAUGAAAUAAAACCUCGAUCCAGCCUAUUUCUGCCGAGGCAUUCCGCACCUGCGGGCUAACACUCGCAUAUGCGACUCCGCAUCUGCAGAAAAUUCAUCGCAAGUGCAGCUUCCACUAAAGUCCAAAAAAUCCGCUUCUGGAUACUCAAAUGCGCUUCUGCGAAAACAACACCGCAUUUCUGGCCCCUCACCAACAGCCCAAUAUCCACUUCGGCAGUUAGGAUCACAGUUUACAAUACCACACCGUUUAAGAAUAUUUUUGAACUAGCCUAAACCUAACACAUUGAAAAUAUAAAUUUUAAGUUAUUAAAUGUAUGAUAUCAUUGCAAACAUUUUUACUCAAUUUAUACGAGUCCAACUUAAAGUUAAGUAUUACUUUAAAAUUACUAGAGUAUCUGUGACACAACUCAAAAGAUAGUGAUUGCGUUAAGGUAAGUGCUGUUUAUAUAUCAUACAUAAUAUCGAUCCAACCACGCUUAUGCAUGCUGAUGCACUUUCUUGUUGUAGAGGGUCCUUCCCAGAAUUGUGACCUACAAAAGAAAAACUGUUAAUUUUUAUCUGAAAUGUGUAUCCUCUUUGCUAAUUAUAAGAAUUAACCGGAAAAAAAAAAGAAGUUAGCUUUGAUUUGCAGGAAACUUUAUUGGGAAGCCGGGUACUAACACAGCUGGCCGGCCCGCAUCCAUUCUGUGUAAUGAAAUUUGCUGUUCUGGACAAUUAUUAUUCUAUAAGAGACACCAAGACAUCCACUUUCAAGUUUCAACUCCAUUCGUUUUUAUCUUUAAAAAUGUAGAUAGCAGUAUCAAAUUUUAAUACUCCAUACUUGAUGAUGACUUCCUAUUUAAUGUUUUAAAUUAAAUAGGCAGGACUUGCAAUGUACUCCUUUUUUUUUUCUUCUUUCUUUUAAGAAGAAUUAAUCUAAAUAACCGUUCACGUAAUCUUUUAAAUUAAAAUAGUCGGUUAAUAUAUAUAUAAAAUUAUGUAUAAUUAAUAUAUAAUUUAUGUAUAUCGAUUAGGAAAAGUAAGUAUUGAAUCCGACCGUUAGUUGUGUAACAGUUUCUUUUAUACUAUAAAAGAAUAACUGACAUGCUUUAUUAAAUAGGCAGCUAUCAUCUGUUAAACUUUGUGGUUUAAAUCAAAAAAUUUUAGUAGAUCACCUACCAAACUUCAACUUUAAAGCAAUCAAGAGGGACACAACGAAAAAGAACCAAAUACAAAGAAAGGCAUUAUUAAUGCCGUAUUAUUCCUUGGUUAAUGAAACCUCCCAACCACAUAUAAAAGACAAAAAAACAAAAGAUUAAUGUAUUAACUAGCAGUAUGGGAAUUUAUUGACCUUCCCAUUCCGUGUAAUUUCUUUUCACUCAUAUUUUUGUAAUUUACAACGCACACUAACAUAUAUUGUAACUUUUCUUUUUUUUUUCCUUUUUCAUAUAUGCAUAUUUUAAUAAAUCAAUUUAG
RNAcentral lists this long non-coding RNA (47481 nucleotides) under Nicotiana tabacum (common tobacco). RNAcentral's name for it is "long non-coding RNA (NTAB_LNC008702)". Lineage: Eukaryota; Viridiplantae; Streptophyta; Magnoliopsida; Solanales; Solanaceae. The record is from RNAcentral.